RNAcentral lists this long non-coding RNA (46617 nucleotides) under Hordeum vulgare. RNAcentral describes it as "long non-coding RNA (HVUL_LNC011807)". Lineage: Eukaryota; Viridiplantae; Streptophyta; Magnoliopsida; Poales; Poaceae. The record is from RNAcentral.
GCGGGCCGGCGAGGGUCAACGAGGUCGUUGUUGGUCCUCGAGCGAGAACCGGACGGGUCGCGGAACGACUGGGCCGGCUGCUCCUGCUGCGCGUUGGCAGCCUCCACAAUAACGCGAAUGCACUCCUGCUGCGCCUCGCGGGCCGGCCCCUCGAGCUCUCCUAACUCGCUAAGGGCAGCCCGCGCGGCUCUAAUGUUCUUGACGGGGGUGUCAUGGACGGGGCGGCCGCUGGUGCAAGCGAGAUAAUCAUAGCAAAUACAUAAACGAGAAUGACAAAUAGGGCAUACAUCUGCCAUCUGACAUAGUAUAAUAUAAGGUUUACAUCCACACAAUUAUUCAGACAAGUUAAUCCCGCUACGGACUACAUGAAACAAGGAAAAGACUAUGAUAUCCCGCAUGCUGGCCCACGAUCACGACCACGGCCUCAGUCCUCCGGAUAGUUCACGUACAGUCGGUCGUUCUCCUCAUCGCACUGCCACGCCAGCUGCGUGCCAUCUGGAUCUCCUGCGUCGGGCGUACUUGUACCUGUUGGGGUGUUGUAGUAAACUGUGAGCCACGGGGACUCAGCAAUCGGAUGACCUUGGUACCGAAACUAGUCAAGUUAUUAGGUGAGGAAGGUUUAGUGUAUAGGUUGCAGCAUCCUAAGCAUAUAUGGUGGCUAACUUACGAAGAUCAGAGUUAUUGUAUUGGUGGUCUACGCGAGCGGUCGAAGUCUAGGUGAUCACUAAGUGAUCCUGAACACCUACUUACGUCAAACAUAACCCCACCGUGUUCCCGAUCAAAGAGAGGUCUUCGAAGGAGACAGUCACGGUUACGCACACAGUUGACAGUUUUAUUAGAGUUAAUUCAAGUUAUCUAGAACCGGAUGUUAACAAAUUAUCCAUGUUUGCCACAUAACCGCGGGCACGGCUUUCCGAAAGAUUAAACCCUGCAAGGGUGCUCCAACUAGUCCAUCACAAACGGUCACGGGCCGCAAAGUAAUCCUCUAUCACGAAUCUCGUGAUCUCGUCGGAUUCCUUAGAGGAAAACCUCAACUUUAAGGAGACACAAAGUUUCACCGGGAUUCCUAUACGCAAGAUAUAUCGCUAAGGUAAGACAAAUCUAGCAGGACUUCUCGUCGUGUCGACUACCCCGAUAAGAGCCGCGUAUCUCAGUCUCAGGACACGACAGAUGAGCUAGACGUCGGGUUGGCUAAACCACUGGGUGACCAGGGGGCCCCGGACAUCGCUCAGGUGGGACCAACACUCAUGAGGAGCAUGUUAGACCUUUCAGCCUGAGCAUUGAUAGUUGUGGAUGACACUAGGAGAGUUGGGACAAUUUNNNNNNNNNNNNNNNNNNNNNNNNNNNNNNNNNNNNNNNNNNNNNNNNNNNNNNNNNNNNNNNNNNNNNNNNNNNNNNNNNNNNNNNNNNNNNNNNNNNNCGCCAGAGGCCCCCCGCCGGCGAGGACGACCUCGCCGCCGGUGGAUCUCAGCUGGCCUGAGCCACUGACGUGUGGGGCCAGCCUCUGGGAGUUUAGGAAUAAUAAAAAUAAAACCAAAUAAUUUAAUAAGUCACUGACAUGUGGGUCCAGUGAGAUUAAUUAGCUAAUUAAUAUUAAUUCUAAUCUAAAACUGACCAGAGUCACUGACCAAUGGGUCCCACUGGUCGGGUUUAACUUUCAACGGCCAGUUGGACCUGCUGAUGUCAUGCUGAUGCAGUAAAGGGGUUUUCCAGUAUAAAAAUAAUUCUAGAAAUGUUUAAAACUUCUAAAAUUCAUAGAAAUUAAUCUGUAACUCCAAUGAAAAUAAUUUAUAUAUGAAAAAGUAUCAGAAAAAUUCAAGGAAUCUGAAUAUGUCAUUUUCAAACAUGUUUGAAAAUGUUACAGAACCCAAACAUGUAGAUUAAUGAAUAAGUUAAUUCUUAUAAAUACUUUGUAGAUGGAAUUUGGGAAAAUAUUUAAAUUUCACUAUAAAUGACAUGAUCAAACACUGUCCUAAUUACAAACUAGCAACCUAACAUGUCAUCCCAUGCAUGUUAAAAGCAAGUUGAUCUGAGCAUCAGAUCGAAUCAAUUAAAAUGGUAUCCGAGAAUACCUCGUUUGAAGUGGUAUUUGAAUUUGAUUCAAAUCAACUUCAAACCUAAUACAUGUUAUCUAUAAUAGUUUACCAUCUUGCAUUAUCAUGCCAUGCUCAUGCAUCAUCUUGAUUGCAUAUGUUUGUUAUUGAUUGUUGUCAUUCCUUUCGGUAGUCUCCGCUGCCCCGGUUUCCACCGAAUAUCCGUCUGACGGAUAUUGUCACUCCUCUGAGCAACAAGGCAAGCAACCAUUUUGAUCAUCCCGAUAAAUCCCAUGUUCUUGCUCCUGCACUUACUUAUUGCAUUAGGAUCAAAUGCUUCAAAUGCUUUUGCCACGUUAGUUGAACCCACUUCCUUUGCAUGACCUAUCCUUGUCACAGUAAAUAGCUGAACCNNNNNNNNNNNNNNNNNNNNNNNNNNNNNNNNNNNNNNNNNNNNNNNNNNNNNNNNNNNNNNNNNNNNNNNNNNNNNNNNNNNNNNNNNNNNNNNNNNNNCACAGCCGGUAGUUCUUCAAUCCAGCAGCCGGCUGACCUAGCCAGUGGUGCCACCAACCUUCGCUUGAUGCUGGCUAGGAUCAGGCCAUUGGCCCUCUCUGCUUGUCCGUUUGACUCAGGGUGUGCCAGUGAGGCCAAGUCGAGCCGGAUGCCUACCUUCGAACAGUAGAGCGCCAGGGCGCCCUUGGCGAAGUUGGUGCCAUUGUCGGUGAUGAUGCUGUGGGGAACACCAUAUCGGACAGAGAUAUUUGUGAUGGACCUCAUGGCGGUGGGGCUGUCAAGCUUCUUGAUAGGUCUGGCUUCGAUCCACUUGGUGAACCUGUCAACGGCUACCAAAAGAUGUGUCAUCCCUCCGCGAGCCGUCUUGAAGGGCCCAACCAUGUCCAGUCCCCAGAGGCGAAUGGCCAUGAUAAGGGAAUGGUUUUCAGCGCUGAGGGCGGCAUGUGGCUUUGUGCACUGAAGCAUUGGCAGCCUUCACAUUUGUACACCAGAUCCACGACCUCCUCGAGGGCCGUGGGCCAAUAGAAUCCAUGGCGGAAUGCUUUGGCCACCAGGGUUCUCGAGGCGGCAUGAUGCCCACACUCCCCCUGGUGGAUGUCUCUGAGGAUCUCCUGCCCUUUUUCUGAUUCGACGCAGCACUGGAACACGCCGGUCGUGCUGCGUCGUACCAGUUCGCGAUUGAUGAUGCGUAGGUGGCAGACCUGCGUUGGGUCUGUCUCGCCUCCGCCUCAUUCUAAGGAAGUUCGCCGCGAAGGAGGAAGGCCAGAAUGGCCUGAGCCCAUGAUGGAGCCAACACAAGGGUCGCCUCUGCUUCGUUUUGACUGUUGGAGGCUUCUGCAGCCCCCGAGCUUGAUGGUGUGUCCGUGUUAUUACUGCAGCCGGCUCACCGUCUAUCUCCAUGACGUCCACCCACUGCGAGAAUUCGAGCCCGGAAAGAGCCGGGGUUGUCGUUGUAGCUAGUGCCGCUAUUGGAGUCGGUUGGACCAAUGGAGCCGGAAUAGGAUCCGGAGACGGCAUAGCUGGUGGAGCCAACGGCGNNNNNNNNNNNNNNNNNNNNNNNNNNNNNNNNNNNNNNNNNNNNNNNNNNNNNNNNNNNNNNNNNNNNNNNNNNNNNNNNNNNNNNNNNNNNNNNNNNNNCCCCCCCCCCUCUAGGCGACAUCCACGUCCUUUCACAAGGUCGACCAUCUGAGUGAGUAAAGAGAAAGAAGACAUUGUUGGCGCAGCAAGAAGAUGAGCAUAAGAAGAAGCUUCACAAAGAAGCAAAAAAAGAAAGCAAAAAAGGAGCCAAGAAAGAUAGUAAAAAAGACUCGAAUGUGGAGUUGGUGAGCAAGCCUAAACCAAGAAGAAAAAUAACUUGUUCAUUUUGCAGUGAAGAAGAACACACAAUCAAAACCUGCGAGACAUUCCUGGACUACAAGGCUAUGAUGCGUGCUAAUCUUGCAAUAAAGUGACAGUUGUGCUCCGUGGAAGGCCACACAAUGCAAUCAUGCAUCCAAUUUAAAGCUGUGAUGAUGAAAUUUCAGAGACAUGCUCAAAAUAGUUAGAUGAUGCUACUUUUUCUGUGAACUUCAGUAGAGUUUAUAUGCUAAUUUGAUUUUGCUAGGAACUUUGUAUUAGGAUUUUGAGCUUUUGUGAAAUUCUUUGAACUUAUAUAGGAAAGAAGAUUAUAAGAGAACUUCUAUGAACUUCACUUUUCGUGUAUACUUUGUUGUGAACUUUGGUGAAAUUUAUAAGAAGCUUACGGUGAACUUUAUAUGAUAAUUUUGCUGUGAAGCUUGCUAAAAAGUUGUUGUGAACUUUUGUGAAGCUUGCUAUGAUACUUUUCUGUGAACUAUUGUGAAGCUUUUUGUCAAAUUUUGCUGAUAAUUUGAUUCAUAUUGUUGGUUCAUUAAAACCCGUGUAUGCAACAAUAAUGUUGCAACCAUGGUGAAAAGAAUAAGCAGAAUGUUUUUACGGCAAGGAGAAAAUAUGCUCAUGCUCAAAAACCACAUGACAAAAUUUCUUAAAAAAUAAGAAGAAUGCCUCUUCUAGGAAGUUGUUUUUGUGCCAUCAAUUGUUCCAAAAUUGCUUGUUAUUCUCAAUGCUUCUCCCAUAAAUUGUAAAAAAAAAUGCAACUCAUGCUACGAGUAAGCAAUGAGAAAUGACAAAAAAACUGCUCCGAGGAGACGACAAGAAGAUAGCACACAGAUGAAGCAUUUUAUAUAAAACAAAAACAAUGCAUCUCCAUGAAACUUGAAGGUUAAAGGCACCAGCAGCAAACUCUUACACCAUACUUAAGCUUGGUCGCAUAAUCAUCUUUUGUUGCUACAAACUAUGAAUUCUACUAACAACAGGCACAGGCCCAAAAGACUGAUUGAGUUUUACAGCAAGUUUUCAUUCACCGUAAUGAGAACAUAACGCAUGAUGGCGUGAGAUACAAAAUAGGAAAUGAUCUACAUGCUAGGUCCUGGCCAAAAAUAAAUGCAACGUCCAUCUUCGAGCAGCUACAAUCGCCUUGUACAUAUCAGCAGGGGAGACCUUGUUCAAUGGAUGGUAAAAUAACUUUGAAGAAAGGUACUUCCGCAAAUCAAGCAUAUUUUGCUGCAAAAAGAGAAAAAUGAACGAAGCGUUUAUCACACACACAGCAAAUGAAAAGGUACAUAGAAAAAACAUGGUUAUCUAUGAAUGCCUUCUUAAAAUCUUUCGUCCUCUUCCCAUCAAAAUUUUCAAAGUAUAGCACUCCAAAAUAACCACAGUCAAAGCUGUUUUUUCAACCAGAAAGAGAAAGAUGCAGUGUAUAAAAGGUUAAUAUGGCUACAUAGAAUGAGAUGAAAACAAAAAAUAUUUGCGGAGUUGAUUGUUGUGAGUACUUGAUCAUGGGCCAGUCGGCUUGAAAGAAUUUAAAUCCACGCUGAAGUCAGGAUCUUCUGCAACAAUCCUCUUAAAAUUGGUGAACUGGCAGCAGUAGGCAAACAGUAUCCAAAAAAUUUAGAUCUUUUAUCAGACACAAAAAAAAGCAAAACAAAACCUAAAAAGUGCUAAAACACCUAAUACUUUGCAUAUUUCAGUUCCUCUUGUACAUUGGUAAUCUAUUUUCCCAUUAAGGAGUAAACACGACCUAAAAAGAAGAUAAAGGUCACUUACCAGAUUCCUUGCAGCAAUAUCCAAAUUCCCAUUGUCGAGCGAGUCAAACAGGUUAAAUUGCUUGUGCAAGAGGUUAACGACACAAUCAAUCCAAUGGACAUCCCAAAAUAUGGUGAAGAAAAGAUGCGUUAAAGAGACGAAAAAAAGUUAAAUUGAAUAAACUUUAAAACAUUCAAGAGGAAGACACACAUAUUGGGUAAAAACUGUUGGGAGCAAACUUACUAGGUCAAAAACUGAAAUCUAAAAGUUUUGGCACGCUAUCGGUGUCAAAAUCGGCGGAUCUUGGGUUGGGGGUCCUGAGUUGUGGAUCUUGGAUCGAUGGGUUAUAGUGGACGAAAGAGAUGACGUUUUACCCAGGUUCGGGUCCUCUUGAUGAAGGUAAAACCCUAUGUGUUGCUACUAUUUAUACUGAUGAUGGAGUAUCGAAUGCAGAGUGGAUCUACCUUGAGAUCGUAUGUUGUGGUCUAAACCCUAAUGAUGUAGACGUUGCAUCUAAUGAAUAUCUAUCAAUUAGCCUGGCCUCGUCUUAUAUAACACACCGGAGGCCUAGGAUGACAAGAGUCCUAGUCGGCUACGUUGGUGGAGAGGAGUCCUUGUCUUGAUCACCAAGACUUAUGGAAUCUUCCUUGUAUAUGUCAUCGGCUGCCCGAAAUAGCCCAGGAGUACAUCCCAUAAAGAUAAGCAGGCGGCCCGAGGACCCAUUAGUCCCGGACUCCCUCGGUAGCCCCCGAACUGGCCGCCAAUGUCGUAGUCUUGAUCCUCGACACCUUCACGCAUAUAGAGUCUUUAGCUUGUGGGGAGAGUUCUUCUCCCCAAUUAUGUUCAGCCAACACCAGUUCGGCCGCCGAUGACUUCCCUAUUUUUGAGCAUAGGUCUUGAAGUUGGGGAUGCUCAUCGGUUCUUCCAAACUAUUCUUCAUCUUCGGUCAUUAGUCUUGAAUACCGGUUCAACAAAUCUUCUCAUCACUAAUCUUAAGGAUCACCGGGGUGAAUCCAAAGAGUUUCAACGUCGAGCAUCUCAGGAGCCCCUUUAAGUUAUCAAUCUUUAUAAAUGCCUUGUAAUUUUUCAUGCCACACCUAGGGUUUGAAAUGUUUCCCGUACGGCGGUAUCCUCUUGCAUCCAAGCUCCAAUGUAAAACUACAUCCGAGGUGUCCUCUUGUGUUUGAGCUCCAACGAUGGACUGUAUUCAAGGUGCCUUUUGUAGCCAAGCUUCAACGCUUGUCGGCAUCCGAGGUGUCAUAGAUUACCUCGGUUUGUUAAAAAUUGAAGGAAUUCGUCCGAGCUUAAACACCGGAAUAGUCUUUUAUGGAAGCAGCCAUUAGCAUUCGAACUAUAUACCAAACUGCUUCCGAGGUGGUGCACCACCUCAUAAUGGGUUGAUUUUUGUGUGGAUAUAUAGCAAGUAGCCCUUAAGGUGUGUGUCGGUCUAAAACCUGAGAUGCACCUUAGGAAAAAAAUAAAACCGUUGAUCCUAAUAGCCCCUGAGACUCAGGUCGAUUCACAAAAUCGGCCUGAGGAUCAAUUCCUUGCUCGGUAGCAAACUUUAGGAAUUAAAACGCGGUGUGAAGUAACCCCCAAGAUUCAGGUUGGGUGCGGUCGCCCGACCUGAGGAUCAAAUCUUCUCGAAAACUGUAUUGCACUUGUUGUGUGCGUUUUGACAACGCCAAGGUGCAGGUCGGCAGGGAAGGUGCCAAACUGUGGGUCAGAAAAGAUUUUUUGGUUGGUGUAAUUUAUUCUGUGACGAGGUGUAUAACCAGUAGCCCUCGAGACUUGGGUUGGGCAACAUGGCCGACCCUAGGAUCGUAUCUCCUCGGGAACAAUUUCAUCCAUUAAGUGUGUUUUGACAACACCAAGGUGGAGCUCAAUAGGGAAGAUGUCGAACUGUGGGUCGGAGAAGAUUUUCCGAGCAAAACCACCAUGCAGAAUACCUCGAACAAGAGGAUGUCAUGCCUCCUAAAAGAAAAUCAUAAAAAUAGGUUAAUUGUGUCUAAAGCACCGAAAAGCAAAAAACUUUAGCAAAAACAUUAUCUCCCGAACUAAAUCAAGUUUCUUGGUGCCAAUCUGAAAAUUGGUCUUAAAAAUUAAUAUGUGCUUCGAUCGUGCUUUAACAUGAUACAUCUGAUCUCACAGACUUCAAGCGGGUCAGCCUUAGGCUUCAACCUUCAUAUCCCGAGGGCAGAGUGUUUCUCCGAGGCCUAUUUAGAGAACUAAACUCAAGCGGCUUUAGAGAGAAACCAGGCUACCCGGCUAUUGACCAAACACUCAUGUCGGAAAAAUGAGUAGUAGAAAAAGAUUUUGCAACGACCAAGAAGAAAACAUAUUUAUUAAAAAAUGGCUCAUAUAAAUUUAAGAGCCCCCCGUUAACAUGGGUAACGGAAGUGUUUUUAACAAACAAUGCUUUUAACAAGCUAAGUUUUUAACAAACAACUUUUGUGUUUAACAGAAAUAUGAUGGGACAAGGUCCCAGUCCCCAAGUCUGUCACAAGGUAGCCGACUAAAAGUUCGGCUUGAUGAAGUAACAAUACAACACUUCAGAAGGGCCGAUGCAAAACCCCCGAUCCAACUGAGGACACAGAGUAGUUCGGCAAUGUAACGACGAAGCCCCCACAUCAGUCGACCAUGUCGACGACACAAUUCAGUUGAUGGAGGCGUGAUGACAACGUCAGCGCGCCCAGGUGACUAUCUAACAUGGUUGGACCCGAUCACCUAUGCACAUAAAAUAGUGCAAGACAAAGAUAAUAUCAAAUAAUAAUAAUAGUCCUCAACUUAAUUAAGUUGAAUGAAAUGAAUAGUUAGAAAAAGUAUAGCCUGAGUACCAAGGUGCCCGAGCAAAGAGCACAGCUUGAUAAAGUCGCAAUGCGCCACGAACGAUGUGGCGAGGCAAAGCCCUCAGUCCAGCCGAGGUGACGAAGCUGUUCGGCUAGUGACGCCGAAGUCCUAGGAGCAGGUUGAUGAAGAGGUGGUGAAGCCCCCGGUCUAGCUGAGGUGACGGAGCAGUUCGAUAAGGUGGCGAUGGAUCCCCCAUGCAAGCCGAUGUGUUGAAGCAGGUCGGCGUGUUAAACGUCGGUUUGAAGAAAGCGACGAUGUGAUGAUGUCGAUGCAAGUCAAAAUUUGUGAUGCAGUCAAUGUUAGCUUGAUGAAGCAACGACGCGCCCGACCCAUGCAACCCGUGGGCAACGAGAUUCUCUAAAGAUUAUUCAGCCCUUGCAAUGCCAAACUCUUGGUCAGCUGACCGAGAUGAUGAUCCGAGAUGGUUGUCGUUGGCUCGAUAGAGCGGCGGCGCAGUCGAUGCUGGCAUAGCUCGGAAACCGUGGAGCAACAUUAUCGGGCUGGUUUGACACAGGUGUGAGAGUGAAGAUUGCGUUGGAAAAGGCUCAAAAUUUAUGGGCAUGUGUAUUAGAACAACACAUAAUACCUUCAAAAUUCCUUGAAAAGGAUUUCCAAAACCGUGUUCAUGAAGAAAGAUGAAAUCAGGUCAGAUUCGUUUUUGCGAAGAAAACAGAUCCAAAAUUUGUUGUACUCAUAAGAUGUUUACCAGAGUUUGGAUGGUCGGAUCGGGCUGAAAUUUUGAGUGAUCGCUAUAGGAAUUAUGCAGCCGGUAAACUUAUGAAAUUUCCCGUCCACAUUUGAUAGGCCUCCGGUAUAUCAAAGAUCGCCAGAAAUUCCUGUAUCAGAACGCGACGUAAUUUUGCAGGGUUGUAAUAGAUACAAUUCCACACAAUUCCACUGAAGCAAUCGUUAAAGAGACGCUCGACGAAACAGGGAUAACGAACACGAAUUCAUUGUCCACAAAAAACUGUAAUCAAUCUGCAGGGGAGCCAUCAAUCUUUCUGUCGAUCACACAACGGAACUCUCAAUGAAAGCACCAACGUCCGUGUCAAAAUCGCCAGAUCUCGGGUAGGGGUCCCGAGUUGUGGACCUUGGAUCGAUGGGUUAUAGGGGACGAAGGAGAAGAUGUUUUACCCAGGUUCGGGCCCUCUUGAUGGAGUAAAACCCUAUGUCCUGCUCUUGUUUAUACUGAUGAUGGAGUAUCAAGUACAAAGUUGAUAUACCUCGUGAGCGUAUGUUGUGGUCUAAACCCUAAUGGUGUAGACGUUGUGUCUAAUGAAUAUCUAUCAACUAGCCUUGCCUCAGCUUUUAUAACACAUCGGAGGUCUAGGAUGACAAGAGUCCUAGUCGGCUAUGUUAGUGGAGAGGAGUCCUUGUCUUAAUCACCAAGACUUGUGGAAUCUUCCUCGUAUAUGUCAUCGGCUUCCCGAAGUAGCCCAGGAGUCCGACCCAUAAAGUUAGACUGGCAGCCCAAGGACCCCUUAGUCCCAGACUCCCUCACACGCCCUUCUUAGCUCUUUUGCACAAACACUUGGAACGAAAACUUCUUGGUGGAAGGAAAGUUGGAGCUCCAAGAAAUAUUGACAUGGAAGAAAUGAUGAAGUAUUGCAGCAUGGUAGACAUGGACAUAUCAAAAUAAUGAAAGUAGAAGGAAGCAAAAAAGAUGAACUAACACUCAUUAAAAGAGACAAAGCAUAUUUCUUCUACUUAUUUGAUGACGAUAACUACUCAAUGUUGAACCUUUCAAUGAAUAAAGACAUGACUUCAUUGCACAUUUGAGCGCGUGGCUUCAAAGACUUCUGGAAGUUGGAAUAAGUAAUGUAAAAAUCACCAAUCCUAAUGAAAGGCGGCCUGCAACAAUAGGUGUCAAAACCAUAUGAAACCAUGAAAACGAUAUGAAUGAAGAUAAAAAAGGCUCUGAUGGAAGCAAGAAUGAGAAAAUCUCGCUUGCUCAAUUUCCCCUUUUUCAUCUUGUACCUCUUCAUGACGAUGUACUGGUACAUUGCUUCAGUAUUGUCAUAUGUCUUGAUUUUCUUGUAUUUUGCUCCGGUUGAAAUUAGACUCACUGUUAUUUUCUUGCUCUUGAGUUUCUUCUCUUCCUUCAACCUCACCUUCUCCUCAUCACGGUAGGGGCCUGGUUCCCUGCUGCUAAGCAAAACGACUGGCUCCUCCUGUGGUUUUGGUGCUCCAACUAGGAAGCAAUUAAAGAAAAAACAGUAACAAAAGUGAUUUACUACAAAAUUUUGUGAGGAUAUAUUUGCUCAAAUAUUAGCAUGGAAGGGCAUACUUACAGUCCCGCUUGAAAAUGGAGCAAUUGCAAUUGGUGUGACAUCAUAGACAGGGACUUUAAUUUCUCAUGAGCCUCGAGCAUGAGGAGUGGCAUCAAAAACGGCACAAGACUUUGGCGUUUUUGGUGUUGCGACAGUAUUUUUAUGGUUUGAAGCAUUGGGGUCCACAGCUGCACUUGGGAUACCGAUACACCAAUUGUAUUCCUCGGUGCCCUCUUGGAACACACUCAUUGAUGGUGUAUCACUCCAAUGUCCACCCACACUAGCCAUUCCAGAGUGAUCGAGAUGACUUAGUUGGGGACCAUGCUCAACAUCUUCGCCACCCUCCACUUGCUCCUUUUCUGAUUGGCCUCAUUGGCAUCGGCACUAGAUUCUACACGAAGCUCUACCACAUUGCCUGUAUUAGGCUCAUGAGCACUGCUGCUAGAACGAUUGCUUCGAGCUCCUUCAGCUGGCUAAACUACCACCUUGUUAAUUGUUGGCUCAUUUGCAACCUUCCUACUAUAACUUUGCUUGCUACCCCCACGCUCAUGAGAAGCCUUACUAGUACAAGUUUGCUUGCUACCCCCACGCCCAUCAGCCUUGGGUUCAUCAUUGUUGCAAUGUGGCGGAAUGUCAAAAGUAACAUAUGUUGUUUGCUGAUUACUUGAUGAAACGAGAUCAACAUCUCUGAGAAGCUGCCCCAUUUUCCUAUAAUGCAUGGCUUGCAACACUUGAACAAAAGAAUUGGUACCCCUUUUAACUUUGCAGCAUAGAGUUUUGUGUGUUUGUCGUAGAUUUCAGCCAGAUGUGGUGGGAGCUGAAAUGUAUAUGAAAAUGAAAGUGGAGGUGCUCAGUGGGUAUGCAACUUACUACAUGGUCGGAGGAUAUUUGACAAAAUAAAAAAAUAGAAAACAACAACGCAAGAGAAUAGGAAUAAUCUCACCUCAAGCUCUACCCCAAAUGGGACUGGGUUCUGAAGUGAGUCAUCCAGUGAACCACACACAUCUUCUUCUACACUUUUCCAAUUUUCCAUUGGAUCAAUAUCUUCUCUAUAGUUGUCUUUUGCACCAACGUCACCUUUGUUUCCAUUAAUGUUGACAUUUGUAGCACCGCAAUCUUUAGUAUCAUCACAAUACACAUCUUUAGUAGUUCGUUGUUGUUGCCUAUAGCAACACCUGUGACUCCGACUUCUGGAGACAAUGAUGCAUACGAUGUCUCUGACAAAGGCCGAAACUGCACAGCACGUAGUAAAAUAAGCAAAAACAAAUAGUGGAAACAGAAUUGUUGCAAACGAAUGAGGGAGAAAAACUCACACAACACUUCCCAAAUGAGGCUUUGCCCAAUGCUAGCUUGUUUUUGUCUUACUCCCACACAAUAUCAAAGUCAUUCUGUUGAACAAAGCAUUCCCUCGGCAGAGAAUAGUUCAUUUGGUGCUCAUUGAUUGCAGCUUGAGGAAAAAUCAAAUGAUCCAUGUAAAUAACCCGAUAACACAACACAUAAUAUCUCAGAUAACACAACACAUAGAAUCUCACACAGAAUGUGAUCACAAAAACAAAAAAAAUGUGAGGUGAUUGAAAAAAUCAAAGAAGAAGAUAUGUAUACCGCUAACAUAGGGAAACAGCCCCCAAACCAAAAUUUGGUGAUAUCAUGUGAUUUAAUCUUCUCCUGGCACUUCUUGACCUCGUUUAUUGCAACACUUAAAACAUGCGCAUCCCAAGAAUAUUCAGUGACCUUCUCAAUAUCUUUAUGGCUCUUCAAGUACUCUAACGGCACCAUGUUGCCCGUGCCAGGGGUUAAAACUGUUGCGAGCGCCAAUAGCACCCAUGACCUCUUGGUAGUACCACCAUUAUCAUUCCUUGCUUUCUGUAGCGCAUGCACUGUAUGAGCAAUUGGAGCCCUACCAUUCUUGUGGUAAAUGUUGCGGAGCUCGCAUUGCUCAUGCCUCUUGUAAAGUACAACUGUUCGGUUGCCUGGUGGAAUGUCAAAAACCUUCUUCACCAUGUCUCUUGUAAAAACAAUAACCUUAUUCUGGUUCGGCCUAAAAAACCAGGGAAUGUGAGAAUGUAUUAAUAACAAUAUCUGAAGAAAGUACAUGCUACGGACAUGCUAACAAAGAAAAACAAAGAAGUCAAGGGGGUUAAAUACCUGAGCUCACGUUUGCCAGUGUCUAUGUUCAUUUCCAACCACUCCAUCAGAUCGUGUAGUACUAUAAAAGGAGAAAUGUUUUUCAGAUCACCAAAGCCAGUUUCAUCUAUGAAUUUCCUCUUGGUAGGAUUGAGCUUAGACUUGGCAAUUUGACGCAAACGUUUUGAUGCGAAACGUUGGCUGAAUACUCCAUCAGACGCCAUAUAUUCUUCGUCUAGCGAGUAACUGCAAUAUUAAAAAAAUGUAUUGGGUACAACACAAGACAUGCCAAAAAAACUAGUAGAUCCAACAAAAUUAUAUGACAACAAUUUUAUGUAAACAGCAACUGCAACAUACAAGAACGAAUUAGGUUACAGAUGUCAAUUCUGUUCAACAUAUGCAACAAACAAAAAAUGCAAAAUACUAGUAGAUCAAACAAGUUCAUAAAAACAAACAUUACAUGAUGCCCAACUACAAUAGCAGAUUCAGGUCGCUAGUUUAGUUGGAUAAACUCCUCCCCUAGGCUGACCACAAAGGUGGCAUUAGUAAGACCAUUAGUAAGAAGCACAAAGGUAGCAUCAGUAAGACCAUCAGUAACCACACCAAACUCAUCUGGAAUCGCCCUCCCCCUACUCGCAACAAGUCCACUACAAAACAUAUCUAAAACUAUACAGGAGUUGCGGCCUAUGAAGGGGACGGAGGCUCAAAGCACAACAUCACCAGAAAAUACUAAAUAUGUUCACCAUACCUAGCAGAUAUACUCUUCAACGGCUGGAACUAACGGAGCUGGCCAUGAAAUGGACCUCAAGUUCGCCACGGAGGGGAAUACCUAGAAGAUGCAAGAAAAUCUACUCCUCCAACGACAGGAACGAACAAAAACGGUCAUGGAAUGGAGCGCAUGCUGCGGGGGAAUGGUGACCAUACCUGUCGCCCGGGUCCUCCCGCUCAUCGUUGUCGCCCCAUUCGUCGUUGUCACGUAAGGUGCUCGCCAUUGAUCAAUCCUUGGCUGCCCUUCCUAUCCUUGCAGCAUCUGGCUCACUGGCCCCCGCUAAGAUUCGAGAUCUGCACAGUGCCGCCUGCAUCUCCUCGGUCACCUCUGCCGCUCGGGUCGCUAAAAGAUGUGGAAGCAAUGAAAAACGAGUGGAAGCAGCGAUGAGUUGGAAGCAAAAAAUGGUUGCAGCAAAAAUUGUAGGGGAAAACGGACCUCGAAGAAGACCUGGUCGAGAAAAUGGACCUAGGAGAGGACCUGGUCGAGACAGACGAUGAUCGUCCGAUCUAGCACGGAUGGCACGUGAGGCGCUCGCUUGGGAGGCAUGCGACAUGCGAAUGCAACAAAGUGUUUUCGUGUAUGCUUGUUUGCUUCUAUCACUAAGUAGAUUUUGUUUUUGUUUUGUUUCUGCUUUCUUGUUUUCUUUCUUUUCUUGUGGGGAAACAAAAAAAAUGAAAAUUUAUAAAUACAAAAAAUUUGACUUGUCUCUUAAAAGAGAAGCGAUUGGCAAGUUAUACAUUGGAGAAGUGAGGGUCGACCUUGAACAUUUGGGUUCAUGCUCAUGGAAACAAUGUAGAAUUUUCAUGGAAGUUUCUGAUAAAAAUAAUUAUCCCCUUGUAUUUACCACUGUACCAUAAAAAUAAUGUGCUUUUCAUAAUAUUCAUGUUGCUCUUUUGCAUGUUUCAUCAACUAUCCUUAUGUGAGCAUCAUUGAAAUUAUCAUGCCUAGCUAAAAAGCUUUAAAGAAAAGCGCUUGUUGGGAGACAACCCAACACUUAUCCUUUCUGUUUUCUCUCUUUUAUUUCAAUAAUGUUUUGUGUUCACAUGAUUAAACUACUAUAGUAAUCAUGUUUUAUGUAUUUUAUUUCAAUAAUGUGCCAAGUAAAGCCUUUGGGAUGAUCUGUAUGAUGAGUAGAAUUAUAUGGUACAAAAAUAGAAACUUUGAUGUCCAGUGCAGAAUUUCAUUGAAUCUACUAGAACGUACUUUUAAGAUGAAAUUUUUUCAAUAAAAGAUUCCAAGAAUUGCCUUUAGAAUGCUUCAAUUGCAUGUGUGAUGUGUGUUGUACAAAAAAAGAAACUUUUGUUGUAAUAUUUGAAUAAUCAGAUUUUAGUGGAACGUGGAAAGUUUCUGAAAUUUAUACACAGUACUGCCCUAAAAAUUAUUUAUCCUUUCCCAAAGUUUCAUAAUUUUUGGAGAUACAGAAGUACACUUUCUAAAUAAAUUGCUAUAGACUGUUCUGUUUGGACAGAUUGUUGUCAUCGUUUUGUUAUCUACUUAUCCUGGAGUUUUCAUCGCUUCUAUGAGUGGAUAUAAAUUGUGGAAAUGAUAGUAUACAGUACCUAAUGUUUGAAAACUAUUAUUCAACUUGUCUUGUCAGUACAUGAAGUGUUGAUUUAUUCUUAUGUAUACUAACCUUUCUCACGGGUUCUUCUCAAGCUUUGUGUGGAUGAAGCUUUUGGGACUUAGGUGAAACCGGGAUAUGAGAGGGUUGAACGGGAUACAAAAACUCAAGAUUGGGGAUGCCUAAGGCACCCCAAGUAAAUAUUACAAGAAUUUUCAAGCAUGUAAGCUUGGGGAUGCUAAGCAUCCCACAUCUCUUCGUCAACAGCUAUCGGUUAACCAGUGUUGAUCCUAAGUUUUCAUUCAUUCACAUGUGCUAUUCUUGGAGUAUAUUUUGCAUUUACUAUUCCCUUUUAUUCUAGGAACCAUGUUGGUAUGAGAUGAUCCUUGGUUGAUUUAUAUAAUGCUUCAUGUUCUUCACUUAAAACUUUUCAGUAUGGCUUUAUAGAAUGCUUCGCGUGCUUCACUUAUAUAUUUUGAGCUUGGAUAUUGGUCUCUCUAUAUUCACUAAAGAAUUCUCUAUGAACUUCACUUAUAUCCUUUGAGAGUAGUUUGAUUGUUUGCUCUUGUGCUUCACUUAUGCCCUAAGAGUAAAUUGUGAAUGAAUGAAAUAUCAUAAAUCUAAAAUCAUCAAUGUGCUUUAUGAUUAGUAGUAGUUUCACAUUUGGUUUAGAAAGUAAAAUCUAUUUAAGUUUGACAAUCAUAGUAUUGGUCAUGCAAGCAAUCCAUGAAUGACUAGUAUAAGAAAGGGAACUUUCAGAUACAAAUAUAUUAUCUUGGACAUCUUUUUUUAUUGUGAAUGCCCAUUAAUUAUUUUCAAACUUGACCAAAUAGUUGAAGUUGGACAAGGAAGACAAUGUAAUGGUUAUGUUUGGGUAUAUUUUCAUAGAAGUUAUAUUGUUAUGGAUCCUCCAACUCGUGGUGUCUAUAUAGAACCUUUUGCUAGCCAAAACUUCAUACUAAGUAGAGAUACUACUUGUGCAUCCAAAUACUUGAACCACGUUUAUUCCAUGAGAGUCCACUAUUGUCACAUCCCUGACACCUUAAUCAAGUUAGCUUUGUGCUCAUGUUUUCUUUGCAUUGCAUCUAGGAAAUUUUCAACAACAACAAAGCAAGUGGUGAAGGAAAAUUCAACAAACCCUAGCCACUUCUCAAAUUAAGGGAAAUUCCAAAACUAGUUAAAAUCAAUGAACCCAAAAUGGCCUCAAGAAAAGUUCAAUCCUUCUGAUAAUUCUUGAAAACAAAUAAGCAAUAAAGGAAACCAUUUAUUUUAUACUCUUGGCAUUUUAAAUAAAUGCAAAAUCUACUAGUUUCAAGUUUUAAAUUUGAAAUCAGAAACUUUAAGCUUUCAAAAAUGUUGAAAACUUUAGGAAUGGUUGGAAAUAUUCCAACAAAUAUUCUGGGGUGUUCAACAUAGUUUUUACAGACUAAUUGGGAGAUGAAAUAAUUAGUAAAUCAAUGUGAGUAAUUAAAACAGAAACAAAACAGAAAGAAAAUGAAAAAAAUCUUACCUGUCGCUCACCUGGCCCGGCCCAGCAUCUUCUUGUCGUCUUCCUCCCCCGCCAGUGGGCAGCAGGAGGUGGCCGCCGCGUACUCCGGCGUGGCCACGCACCUGUGCGCCUGCCUGGCCGCCGCCUCGCACUGGCAAGAACGGGGAUAUCUUCCCUGAGCUCGUCCCUAUCCGUUCCCCAGCUCCAAUUCCCCCCCUCCUCUCGAGAUCUCUCCUCCCUCCUUCUGCCGCCAUUGGAGCCCGAGCAGAGCUCGAGCUCGCCAUCAUUCUAGCCUACCCUUCUCCCUCCUGAGCCGCGUAAUAGGUCCACCGCAACUCCCUGAAGCUUUCUAGCCACGAGCCCGACGCCGAGACGCAGUGAAACACCGAGACGCAAUCGUCUUCUUCCUCGGGUCACCGAAGUUCAUCGUCGGCGUUCUUCCUCUCCAGGCCGUCCCCGAGCAAGCUAGCGCCACCACUACACUCCUCGUGAGCUUGCGCAUCUUUCCCCUAAGAUCUCCCCAUCGAUCCCCUCCUCUAGGCCUAGUUCCAUUGGAGCCCGACGAGAUCCGCCGCUGCUGCUCGUCGCCGGUAGCCCUCCGGUGAUCAGCUCAUCCUUCUGAGGCCAGCAGCUGCUUCAGGCCGUCGCGUAGAUGUCGUAGGAGCUGAGUCCCGUGCGUAGCUCCCUCUGUAUCGAUGACCCCGAUGACGCCUGAACUUUGGCCGCCGCCAAGCUCGUCGCCGGUGUCGUCUCCGGCCAGAUCAGCCCGAGCUAAAGUGCAAAAAUGAACCCGCGGGAGAAGUGUCGUUCCUGUGGUGCUCUCCGCGUAGAGUUUGGCCCCCUGUGCGCCGUUUCCGAGCCCCUCCGCCGUUCUGGUGGUCGCCAGAGGCUCCCCGCCNNNNNNNNNNNNNNNNNNNNNNNNNNNNNNNNNNNNNNNNNNNNNNNNNNNNNNNNNNNNNNNNNNNNNNNNNNNNNNNNNNNNNNNNNNNNNNNNNNNNAAUGUCAAGUGUCUUUUCCUUCGACCGUGAGAUUGUGCAACUCCCGGAUACCGUAGGAGUGCUAUGGGUGUAUCAAACGUCACAACGUAACUGGGUUACUAUAAAGGUGCACUAGGGUACCUCUGAAAGUGUCUGUUGGGUUGGUAUGAAUCGAGAUCGGGAUUUGUCACUCCGUGUGAUGGAGAGGUAUCUCUGGGCCCACUCGGUAGAACAUCAUCAUGAGCUCAAUGUGACUAAGGAGUUAGUCACAAGAUGACGUGCUACAGAACGAGUAAAGAGACUUACCCGUAACGAGAUUGAACAAGGUAUAGGUAUACCGACGAUCGAAUCUCGGGCAAGUUCUAUACCGACAGGCAAAGGGAAUUGUAUACGGGAUUGAUUGAAUCCUUGACAUCGUGGUUCAUCCAAUGAGAUCAUCUUGGAACAUGUGGGAUCCACCAUGGGUAUCUAGAUCCCGCUGAUGGUUAUUGGCCGGAGAGCGUCUCGGUCAUGUCUGCAUGCUUCCCGAACCCGUAGGGUCUACACACUUAAGGUUCGAUGACGCUAGGGUUAUAGGGAAAUGUUAUACGAGGUUACCGAAAGUUGUUCGGAGUCCCGGAUGAGAUCCCGGACGUCACGAGGAGCUCCGGAAUGGUCCGGAGGUAAAGAUUGAUAUAUAGGAUGGAUGGUUUUGGACAUCGAAAAUGUUUCGGGCGUCACCGGUAGCGUACCAGGACCACCGGGACCACCGGAAAUGGUCCCGGGGGUCCACCAGGCCCAAGACGUAGCAUGGGCCAAAAGGGGGAGGGCAACCAGCCCAAAGUGGGCUGGUGCACGUCCCACAAGAGGCCCAAGGCGCAGGAGGUGGAGGGGGGGGAACCCUAGGCGCUGGUGGGCCUAAGGCCCACCUAAGGGGUGCGCCACCCCCUCCCCUACCCUGGCCGCCGCACCUCCCAUCUGGGGGGGGGCUGCCGCACCACCUAGGGGGGAAACCCUAGGGGUGGCACCCCCCUCCUCCUAUGAAUAGAGAGGGGUUUGGGGCUGUUUUGCACACCGUUUCCUCUCUCCUCCGGCGCAACCCUGCUCCCCUCCUUCCUCCUCCUCCCACGGUGCUUGGCGAAGCCCUGCUGGGAGACCUCGUCUCUCCAUCGACACCACGCCGUCAUGCUGCUGGAGAUCUUCCCCAACCUCUUCCUCCUCCUUGCUGGAUCAAGGUGCGGGAGACGUCACCGGGCUGCAUGUGUGUUGAAUGCGGAGGUGCCGUGGUUCGACAUUAGAUCGGAAUCACACCGCGAUCUGAAUCGCCGCGAGUACGACUCCAUCAAUCGCGUUCUAGUAACGCUUCCGCUUAGCGAUCUUCAAAGGUAUGAAUAUGCACUCACCCCUCUCUCGUUGCUGGUCUCUCCAUAGAAAGAUCUGAAUAUGCGUAGGAAUUUUUUUGAAUUUAUGCUACGCUACCCAACAGUGGCAUCCAAACCAGGUUUUCUAUGCGUAGAUUCUAUGCACGAGUAGAACACAAAAAGGUUGUGGGCGAUGAUUUGUCAAUUUCUCGCUGCUACUAGUCUUAUUCAUUUCCGACGGUAUUGUGGGAUGAAGCGACCCGGACCGACCUUACACGUACGCUUACGUGAGACUAGUUCCACCGACAGACAUGCACACCGUGCAUAAAGGUGGCUAGCGGGUGUCUGUCUCUCCUACUCUAGUCGGAUUGGAUUUGAUGAAAAGGGUCCUUAUGAAGGGUAAAUAGCUUUGGCAUAUCAUCGUUGUGGCUGUCACAUAGGUAAGAAGGCGUUCUUGCUAGAAAUCCAAAUCAGCCACGUAAAACUCGCAACAACAAUUAGAGGACGUCUAACUUGUUUUUGCAGGGUUUGACAUGUGAUGUGAUAUGGCCAAAGUUGUGAUGUUGCAUGUAUGAUGUAUGAGAUGAUCAUGUUAUUGUAAUAGGUUUCACGACUUGCAUGUGGAUGAGUAUGACAACCGGCUGGAGCCAUAGGAGUUGUCUUAAUUUGUUGUAUGAGAUGCAACGCCAUGUGCUUACUACUUUUACUUCAUUGCUAACGGUUAGCUAUAGUAGUAGUGAUAGUAGUAUUUUGCGUGACGACUUCAGGAGACAUGAUGAUGGAGAUCAUGGUGUCACGCCGGUGACAAUGAUGAUCAUGCGAUGCCUGAAGAUGGAGAUCGAAAGAGCAAAGAUGAUAAUGGCCAUAUCAUGUCACUAUAUGAUUGCAUUGUGAUGUUUAUCAUGUUUUUCAUCUUAUUGCUUAGAACGAUGUAGCAUAAUAAGAUGAUCCCUCUUAAAAUUUUGAGAACGUAUUCCCCUAAGUGUGCACCAUUGCGAAGGAUCAUUGUCUCGAAGCACCACGUGAUGAUCGGGUGUGAUAGAUUCUAACGUUCGCAUACAACGGGUGUAAGCCAGAUUUACACACGCGAAACACCUAGGUUGACUCGACGAGCUUAGCAUGUAUAGACAUGACCUCAAAUACAAGAGACCGAAAGGUCGAACAUGAGUCGUAUGGUUUAAUACGAUCAGCAUGAAGUUGCUCACCAUGAUGACUAGUUCGUCUCACGUGAUGAUCGGACACGGGUUAGUCAACAUGGAUCAUGUAUCACUUAGAUGACUAGAGGGAUGUCGAUUUAAGUGGGAGUUCAUACUUAAUUUGAUUAAAUGAACUUAAUUGUCAUGAACUUAGUCUAAAAGUUGUCUUUAUAAAUAUUGUAGAUGGCCAACGUCAACCUCAAUUUCAACGCAUUCCUAAGAAAAACAAGCUCAAAGAUGAUGGUAGCAACUAUGCGGACUGGGUCCGCAACUUGAAGCUCAUCCUUGAAGCAGCUAAAAAGGCUUAUGUCCUUGAUGUGCCGCUAGGUGACCCUCCCGCUCCCGCAGCAGCCCAGGACAUUCUGAACGUCUGGCAAAUGCGAAGUGAUGACUACUCCCUAGUUAGGUGUGGCAUGCUAUACAGUUUGGAAACGAGGCUCCAAAGGCGUUUUGAGCAACACGGUGCAUAUGAGAUGUUCCAAGAGCUUAAACUAGUUUUUCAAGCUCAUGCCCGUGUCGAUAGAUAUGAAGUCUCCGACAAGUUCUUUAGCUGUAAGAUGGAGGAGAACAGUUCUGUCAGUGAGCACAUACACAAAAUGUCUCGGUUACACGGUCGUCUGACUUCACUUGGAGUCGAACUUCCGGAUGAUGCUAUAAUUGACAGAAUCCUCCAGUCUCUCCCACCAAGCUACAAAGGUUUUGUGCUGAACUACAACAUGCAAGGGAUGGAGAAGACCAUUCCCGAGUUGUACUCGAUGCUCAAGUCUGCAGAAGUAGAAAUCAAGAAAGAGCAUCAAGUGUUGAUGGUCAACAAGACCACCAGUUUCAAGAAGGGCAAGGGUAGGAAGAACUUCAAGAAAGAAGGCAAAGCCGUUGCCGCGCCCGGUAAUCCAGGUGUCGGGAAGAAGAAAAAGAAUGGACCCAAGCCUGAGACUGAGUGCUUCUAUUGUAAGGGAAAAGGUUAUUGGAAGCGGAACUGCUCCAAGUACUUAGCGGACAAGAAGGCCGACAGCUUUAAAGGUAUAUGUGAUAUACAUGUUAUUGAUGUGUACCUUACUAGCGCUCGUAGUAGCUCCUAGGUAUUUGAUACCGGUGUUGUUGCUCACAUUUGCAACUCAAAGCAGGAACUAUGGAAUAAGCGGAGACUAGCCAAGGACGAGGUGACGAUGCGCGUCGGGAAUAUCUCCAAGGUCGAUGUGAUCGCCGUCGGCACGCUACCUCUACAUCUACCGUCGGGAUUAGUUUUAAACCUUAAUAAUUGUUAUUUAGUACCAGCUUUGAGCAUGAAUAUUGUAUCAGGGUCUUGCUUAAUGCAAGACGACUACUCAUUUAAGUCAGAGAAUAAUGGUUGUUCUAUUUAUAUGAGUGAUAUGUUUUAUGGUCAUGCUCCNNNNNNNNNNNNNNNNNNNNNNNNNNNNNNNNNNNNNNNNNNNNNNNNNNNNNNNNNNNNNNNNNNNNNNNNNNNNNNNNNNNNNNNNNNNNNNNNNNNNCUUUUCAAAUGUUUCAGACUUGUGCUUCAUUAAGUAGACAUAACUAUAUCUACUCAAAUCGUCAGUGAAGGUGAGAAAAUAACGAUAUCCGCCGCGUGCCUCUACGCUCAUCGGACCACACACAUCGGUAUGUAUGAUUUCCAACAAGUCACUUGCACGCUCCAUUGUUCUGGAGAACGGAGUUUUAGUCAUCUUUCCCAUGAGGCAUGGUUCGCACGUGUCAAGUGAAUCAAAGUCAAGUGACUCCAAAAGUCCAUCGGCAUGGAGUUUCUUCAUGCGGUUUACACCAAUAUGACCUAAGCGGCAGUGCCACAAAAAUAUGGCGCUAUCAUUGUUAACUCUAACUCUUUUGGUCUCAAUGUUAUGUAUGUGUGUAUCGCUAUCAAGAUUCAAUAUGAACAAUCCUCUCACAUUGGGUGCAUGACCAUAAAAGAUGUUACUCAUAGAAAUAGAACAACCAUUAUUCUCUGACUUAAAAGAGUAACCGUCUCGCAAUAAACAAGAUCCAGAUAUAAUGUUCAUGCUCAACGCAGGCGCUAAAUAACAAUGAUUUAAGUUCAUAACUAAUCCUGAUGGUAACUGAAGUGAAACUGUGCCGACGGCGAUCGCAUCAACCUUGGAACCAUUUCCUACACGCAUCGUCACUUCAUCUUUCGCCAGCCUUCGUCUAUUCCGCAGUUCCUGUUUCGAGUUGCAAAUAUGAGCAACAGAACCGGUAUCGAAUACCCAGGCACUACUACGAGAGCCGGUUAAGUACACAUCAAUAACAUGUAUAUCAAAUAUACAUGAUUUUUCUUUGGCCGCCUUCUUAUCAGCCAGAUACUUGGGGCAAUUGCGCUUCCAGUGACCCAUACCCUUGCAAUAGUAACACUCUGUUUCAGGCUUAGGUCCAGCUUUGGGUUUCUUCGUCGGAUUGGCAACAUGCUUGCCGAUCUUCUUUGAUUUACCCUUCUUGCCUUUGCCAUUUAUCUUGAAACUAGUGGUCUUAUUCACCAUCAACACUUGAUGUUCUUUACGGAGUUCAGACUCUGCGAUUUUCAGCAUCGCAAACAACUCGCCGGGUGACUUGUUCAUCCCUUGCAUGUUGUAGUUCAAUACAAAGCCUUUAUAGCUUGGCGGCAGUGAUUGAAGGAUUCUGUCAGUGAUAGCCUCUUGCGGGAGUUCAAUCCCCAGCUCAGCUAGACGGUUUGAGUACCCAGACAUUUUGAGCACAUGUUCACUGACAGACGAGUUCUCCUCCAUCUUGCAAGCAUAGAAUUUAUCGGAGGUCUCAUACCUCUCGAUCUGGGCGUUCUUCUGAAAGAUAAACUUCAACUCUUGGAACAUCUCAAAUGCUCCAUGACGCUCAAAGCGAUGUUGAAGUCCCGGUUCUAAGCCAUACAAGACUGCACACUGAACUAUCGAGUAGUCCUCCUUACGUGCUAACCAGGCAUUCUUAACAUCCUGAUCAGCCGUAGCGGGUGGUUCAUCUCCUAGCGCAGCAUUAAGGACAUAAUCCUUCUUCCCAGCUUGCAAGAUUAGCUUAAGAUUACGAGCCCAGUCUACAAAGUUGCUUCCAUCAUCUUUCAACUUAGCUUUCUCUAGGAACGUAUUAAAAUUCAGGGUGACUGUCGCGUGAGCCAUGAUCUACAACACAAAUAUAUUCAAAGUGGACUUAGACUAUGUUCAAGAUAAUUAUAGUUUAACUUAAUCAAAUUACUCGCUAAACUCCCACUCAAAAAGUACAUCUCUCUAGUCAUUUGAGUGGUUCAUGAUCCACUUACACUAGCUCAAGUCCGAUCAUCACGUGAGUUGAGCAUAGUUUCAGUGGUAAGCAUCCGCAUGCUAAUCAUAUCAUCUAUAUGAUUCAUGAUCGACCUUUCGGUCUCAUGUGUUCCGAGGCCAUGUCUGCACAUGCUAGGCUCGUCAAGCUUAACCUGAGUGUUCCGCGUGCGCAACUGUUUUGCACCCGUUGUAUGUGAACGUUGAGUCUAUCACACCCAAUCAUCACGUGGUGUAUCGAAACGACGAACUGUAGCAAUGGUGCACAGUAGGGGAGAACACAAUUUCGUCUUGAAAUUUUAGUGAGAGAUAACCCCAUAAUGCUACCGUCGUUCUAGAAAAAAUAAGGUGCAUAAAAGGAUUAACAUCACAUGCAAUUCAUAAGUGACAUGAUAUGGCCAUCAUCACGUGCUCCUUGAUCUCCAUCACCAAGCACCGGCACGAUCUUCUUGUCACCGGCGCCACACCAUGAUCUCCAUCAACGUGUCGCCAUCGGGGUUGUCGUGCUACUCAUGCUAUUACUACUAAAGCUACAUCCUAGCAAAAUAGUAAACGCAUCUUCAAUCACAAACGUUAGCAUAAAGACAACCCUAUGCCUCCUGCCGGUUGCCGUACCAUCGACGUGCAAGUCGAUAUUAUCUAUUACAACAUGAUCAUCUCAUACAUCCAAUAUAUCACAUCACAUCGUUGGCUAUAUCACAUCACAAGCAUACCCUGCAAAAACAAGUUAGACGUCCUCUAAUUUUGUUGUUGCAUGUUUUACGUGGUGACCAUGGGUAUCUAGUAAGAUCGCAUCUUACUUACGCAAACACCACAACGGAGAUAUAUGAGUUACUAUUUAACCUCAUCCAAGGACCUCCUCGGUCAAAUCCGAUUCAACUAAAGUUGGAGAAACUGACACCCGCCAGUCAUCUUUGAGCAACGGAGUUACUCGUAGCGAUGAAACCAGUCUCUCGUAAGCGUACGAGUAAUGUCGGUCCGAGCCGCUUCGAUCCAACAAUACCACGGAAUCAAGAAAAGACUAAGGAGGGCAGCAAAACGCACAUCGCCGCCCACAAAAACUUUUGUGUUCUACUCGAGAAGACAUCUACGCAUGAACCUAGCUCAUGAUGCCACUGUUGGGGAACGUCGCAUGGGAAACAAAAAUUUNNNNNNNNNNNNNNNNNNNNNNNNNNNNNNNNNNNNNNNNNNNNNNNNNNNNNNNNNNNNNNNNNNNNNNNNNNNNNNNNNNNNNNNNNNNNNNNNNNNNUAUAUAUAUAUAUAUAUGGAUCUUCCCAAACACAUGAUGCUUGACAACUAGAGACUUAAUAGGUAGGAAAAGGGACACACAUUAUGAACUCUUGCAUAAAAGUAAAUACAUGAAAGUAAAAGAUAGGCUCUUCACAGAGGAAAGCAGAGGUUGUCAUGCACUUUUCAUUUUUAUAUGUGCACGCUCUUAAUGGAAAGGAACGUCACUUUAUAUUGCCCCUUAUGAUAGCAAAGUUUAUUAUGUAGUUUGUCGCUUUUAUUUCUUUGCCAUCACAAGAUCGUAAAAAUCUUAUUUUCCCUUACAAUAAAAGAUCGUACAUGUUUAGCAACAAUUUUUAUUGCUUUUUGCACCAACGACAACUUACUUGAAGGAUCUUAUUCAAUCCAUAGGUAGGUAUGGUGGACUCUGAUGCCAAGAAACUAGGUUUAAGGGUUACAGAUUGAUGCAUGAGAGUAAAGCAAGAAAGCUCGAACUAAUCUUUAUUAUAUAACUCUCACACAUGAUUACAAGGAUAGAUAGAUCUCAGAGCAAACACUCUAAGCAAAGAAAAACUGAAAUUUUAUUUCUAUAAAUCACGACAUAACUAAGGAUUGAACUGGGAUAGAUAAUAGUGAUAACAGUGAUGGUGAUACGAUAUGGGUGUACCUCCCCCAAGCUUGGAACAAGCUAAUGGUGGUGCCCAUACCCAUGUACUCACACACCCUUCUUGGGUGAUGGAGGUGGUGAGGUAGUGGGCUUAUACUCCGUCUUCCAUGGCAUAAGUUCCGUGUUGAAGAAAGAAGAGCUUGUAUCUGGAUUACUGAAACUUGCAACUAUACUCAUCCUCUUGAAACGAGAUUCAUACUCACAGUUUUGGUUUUGUAGAUCAUAAAUUUGAGCCUGAAGAUCCUGGUGCCUAUCAUGGAGCUUGAAGAUCAUCUCCACAAUUUCCUUGUUAUCCUUCUUAUUGUCACGAAUAAAAUAUGUGAUAAUAGACUGAUUGGCGCUGAGCCCACGCUUCACGAGCCCGUCGCACUUGAAGAUUUCCUGUUCCACUACUACAAGCCUAGCCUUCUCGCUUCCCUCCUUCUUUGGCCCUUGUACAUCCCGGAUGUGAAGCACCCCCUCACGCAUAUCAAUGGUUGAGGGUGUUUCAUCACCUCCAAAAUGUAAGGGUUGAUGACCUUCUCAUAGAACUUGUCCUUGGAGGAGCUUGAUGGCGUCAUGGUGAUCUAGAUCUGUUAGAAAAACAGCUCGAAACAAAAACAUAGGAGAAACUUGUGAUGUGGUGGUCAAAACAGACUGGAGUAUAUAUAAUGACUUUUUCUAGGUCAAAAUACAUGUCCAGGAAGAAAGGGAGUCCAGGAGGCACACGAGGGCCCCACAAGCUAUCAAGGCACGCCUUGUUGCCUUAUGGAUCCCCCGUGGUCUCCCGUGACUCAUUUUUAUUUUUAUAUUUUUUCUAAAAUACCAGAACCAAUAGAACAUAUUUUUUUUUGGAUUUUUUGGAGUUGGUUUACUUGCAGUAUCACAUACCUACCCCCUUUUCAACUUUGUGGAGUGUUCGAGAAGGUAUGUGUUAUGUGUUUUUCCGAUGUCAUCACUUGAAUAAUAUCAGUUUCAACAUUAAAGAGCGUACCUGAAAUAUAAUGUUUAAUUCUUUACCCAUUUACCACCGUACGAUUUGUGCCCUCAAAGUUGUUGAUGUUGAUAGCACCAGAGCGAUAAACCUCUUCAACGAUACAUGGUCCUUCCUGUUUCGAGAGAAGCUUACUUGCAAAAAAUAUGAAACAAGAAUUGUAAAAAAGAACAAGGUCUCCUACAUUGAAUUCUCAUUUUUGUAUUCUCCUAUCAUGCCAUAUUUUAACUUUUUCUUUAGACAUCUUGUCAUUUUCAUAAGUUUGUGUCCUCCAUUUGUCUAACGAGCUAAUAUCAAAUAACCUCUUUUCACCCGCAAGUUUGAAAUCAUAGUUAAGUCCGUUAAUUGCCCAAUAAGCUUUAUGUUCUAACUCAAGAGGUAAAUGCAAAGCUUUUCCAUAGACCAUUUUAUAUGGGGACAUUUCCAUAGGGCUUUUAUAAGCAGUUCUAUAUGCCCAUAGAGCAUCAUCAAGUUUCUUAGACUGAUUCUUUCUAGAUCUAUUAACAGUCUUUUGCAAGAUUAAUUUUAUUUAUCGGUUACUCAAUUAAACUUGACCGCUAGACCAAGGAUGAUAAGGUGAUGCAACUCUAUGAUUGACAUCAUAUUUAGUUAGAAGUUUACGAAAAGCACAAUGAAUAAAAUGUGAACCACCAUGAGUCAUUAAAUAUCCAGGGGCUCUAACCCUCGGGAAAAUAAUAUCUUUAAGCAUUUUAAUAGAAGUGUUAUGAUCAGCACUACUAGUUGGAAUAGCUUCUACACACUUAGUAAUGUAAUAAACAUCAACUACAAUAUGAGCAUACCCAUUAGAGGAAGAAUAAGGUCCCAUAAAGUCAAAACCCCAAAUAUAAAAUGGUUCAAUAGCGAGUGAAUAAUUCAUAGGAAUUUACUCAUGUCUCCCAAUGUUACCAAUUCUUUGCGUUUAUCACAAGAGAAUAAAUACUUACACGCAUCUUUGAAAAAAGUUGGCAAAUAGAAACCAGAUUGUAAUACCUUGUGUGCAGCUCUCUCACCAGCAUGGUGCCCUACGUAAGCCUCGGAAUGAAACUUUCGUAGGAUCUGUCCCAGUUCAUGAUCAUGUACACAAUGUCUAGUAACACCAUCUACUCAUUCUUUAUAAAGAUGUGGGUCAUCCCAAAAGUAAUGUCUUAUAUCAUAAAAGAACUUUUUCUUUUUUUUGGUAGGUGAAACUAGGUUGUAUAUAUUUAGCAACAAUGUGAUCAGCAUAAUCCGCAUACCAAGAAGUACUAUGGGAAGCAUUUAUAACAACUAAUUGAUCAUCAGGAAAAUUAUCAUCAAUAGUUAGUGGGUCAUCAAGAACAUUUUCCAUUCUAGACAAAUUACGUACUAUAGGGUUUUGAGCUCCCUUCCUAUCAAUAAUAUGCAAAUAAAACUCUUGAAGUAAAAGCACCCACCUAAUCAGUCUAGGCUUAGCAUCUUUAUUUUCCAUAAGGUAUUUAAUAGCAGCAUGAUCAAUGUGAAUAGUAACAUUGUAAUCUACAAUAUAAGGUCUAAGCUUAUCACAUGCAAAGACAAUUGCUAAAAAUUCCUUCUCAAUAGUAGCAUAAUUUCUUUGGGCGUUGUCUAAAGUUUUACUAGCAUAACGGUUAACAUUCAAUCUCUUUUCUACUCCUUGUCCUAGAACAGCACCAAAACAUAAUCACUAGCAUUGCAUACAAUUUACAAUGGGAUAUUCCAAUCAGCUGCUUGAACAAUAGAUGCAUAAAUUAAGGCUUUCUUAAGUAUUUCAAAGGCUUCUACACAAUCCUCAUAAAAAAUGGAAUAUCUUCUUGAAGAAGAUUAGUUAAUGGCCUAGAAACCUUUAAUGAAACACCUAUUGAAGCCAGCAUGACCAAGAAAACUUCUUAUACCUUUAACAUCUUUAGGACAUGACAUUUUCUCUAUUGCAUCAACUUUAGCUUUGUAUACCUUAAUACCUCUUUCAUAAAGUUUAUGCCCAAGUACUAUACCUUCAUUCACCAUAAAGUGGCACUUCUCUGAGUUCAUGAAUAUAUUAGUUUCUUCACAUCUCUGCAAAAUUUGAUCAAGAUUGCUCAAGCAAUCAUCAAAAGAAGCCCCGUAAACGUAAAAAUCAUCCAUGAAUACCUCAACAAUCUUUUCACAGGAGUCAUGUCUAUAAGCAUCAGUUCCAAAAGGACAUGUGAAAGUAGUUUUCUCUUGAUCCUCCUUUGGCACUGGUAUUUGAGAAAAUCCAGAAUAUCCAUCAAGAAAGCAAAAGUGUGUGUGCUUACAUAAUCUUUAUAACAUUUGAUCAAUAAAAGGAAAUGGGUAAUGAUCUUUUCUAGUAGCUUUGUUUAAUUUCCUGAAAUCAAGUACCAUCCUAUAACGAGUUACGAUUCUUUGUGGGAUAAGUUCAUUUUUAUAAUUGGGAACAAAAGUUAUACCUCCUUUCUUAGGAAUACAAUGAACAUGACUUACCCAACUACUAUCAACAAUAGAAUGAAUUAUACCUGCCUCUAGAAGUUUUAAUAUUUCAGUUCUUAGCACUUCCUUCUUCUUAGGGUUUAAGCGGCGUUGAUGAUCAACGACAUGUUUAGCAUCUGGUUCCAUAUUAAUCUUGCACUGACAUAGAGUGGGACUCAUGCCCUUCAGAUCAUCAAGAGUAUAUCCAAUAGCAGCUUAGUGCUUCCUCAGAGUUUUAAGUAAUCUAUUUUCUUCAUGCUCUGAAAGGUUAGUGAUACGUCCAUUUUGCAUCAUGAUUUCCUAUUUAUAUUUAUGUUUUUGUUGGUCAUUAUUCCACUUUGUCAUACAAUUCUUAUGCCCUUUCUCUCUGAAUUUACAAGGUACAUCACAAAGAGGGAAAUUGUCGGCAAGUGGAAUUCUGGACGUGAAAACCAAGAAAAGGGGUGAAAAUUCACUAGACUCCAAAUGACGUGAAACUUAACGGAGAAUUUUUAUGGAAUAUACAAGGAUUAUUGGGCCCAAAAUACACCAUAGGGGCUACCUGCUGGCUACAAGCCAAUAGGGCGCCCCUAGUUUGCUUGUGGGGCCCACACCGGUGCCCUGCCCCCUAUUCUCCUAUAAGGUGUGUUUUGAACUAGAAAAAUAUCAAGGGGAUACUUUUGGGACGAAGUGCCACCGUCUUGAGGCAAAAACCUGAGCAAAGGCCCUUUUGCUCUCCAAUAGAGAGAUUCAUCUAGGGAAACUUCCCUUCGGGAGGGGAAAAUCGAAGCCAUUGUCGUCACCAACGCUUCCUCCUUCAUGGGAGGAUCAAUCUUCAUUAACAUAUUCACCAGAGCCGUCUCAUCUCAAACCCCAGUUUAUCUUUUUAUCUCAAAACCUCACAUUGGUACCCGUGGGUUACUAGUAGUGUUACUUAUAUCUCGUAGUUGAUGCUAGUUUGUUUACUUGGUGGAAUAUCUUAUGUUCAGAUCCUUAAUCAUCAUCAUUAUACCUUUGAUCUUGAACAUGUUGAUUAUGUGUGAGUAGUUAAUUUUUUUCCCGAGGACAUGGGAGACGUCUUGUUAUAAGUAAUCAUGUGAAGUUGGUAUUCGUUCGAUAUUUUGAUGAUAUGUAUGUUGUUCCUUCUCUUAGCCGUGUCAUGUGAACGUUGACUACAUGGCACUUCACCAUAUUAUGGGCCUAAGGGAAGACAUUGUGGAGUAAUAAGUAGAUGAUCGGUUCCUAGAGUGACAAAAGCUUAAACCCUAGUUCAUGCAUUAUUUCAUAAGGCACUGUUUUGGAUCCGCAUGUUUCAUGCUAUGGUUAGAUUAUCUUGAUUCUUCUUUCAUAGUUGCGGAUGCUUGUGAGAGGGGUUAAUUAUAAGUGGGUUUAUUGUUCAACUAAGAACAACACCGUAGCACCAGUCCACCCACAUAUCAAAUUAUCAAAGUAACAAAUGCAAAUCAACUCAACAUGAUGAACAUGACUAGACAUAAAUUCCCACGUGUCACCGAGAGUGCUUGCUUCAUAUAAGAGUACCCUCAGGCAUGUCCUUUGCUAUAAAAAGGAUUGGGAUAUCUUGUUGCACACUUUCUACUAUUGUUACUUGUCACUUGUUACAAGUUAUCUUUCUACAAAACUAUCUAUCAUUGUUACUCAUACCACUUGCAGAGAAUACCUUGCUAAAACUACUUAUGAUUUCCUUCUGCUCCUCAUUGGGUUCGACAACCUUACUUAUAAAAAGGAAUAUGAUUUAUCCCCUAUACUUGUGGGUCAUCAAGACUCUUUUCUAGUGCCAUUUUCGGGGAGUGAACCACCUUUAGUGAGUGGAAUUUGGUAAGGAAACAUUUUUGGUACAUGGUGAAAUUUACCGUUGCUUGUUACUAUGGACAAUCACCCUUUGAGUGGUUUGUUCGGGGCAUCUUUGCCUCAAAUGGAAGUGGGAAAUCUUGCUCCUCCACCAUCUGAACGUACUUAAAAUAUCUAUUAUGUGAUUCCUUCGGGUAUGUUAGAGAAAGGGACGGUACAACUCACCCUGAUUACCACUUGAUAUAUGUAGAUGCGAUUUUUGGAUUAUUUAAGCUUACAGGUUUAUCCGAGGACAAAGUCUAGAAGAAGGUUUUUCCUUUCUGUUUGGAGGGAAAAGCAUUGAUGUGGUAUAAGCUAUUGGGUGAUAUUGGAUCAUGGGCUGAAAUCACUUGAAGCUGGAAUUUCAUCAGAAGUUUUAUCCUAUGCAUCUAGUUCAUCGUUAUGGGAACUUUAUAUAUAAUUUUUGGCCUCGUGAAGGAUAAAUCAUCACUCAAUCUUGGGGAGGCUUAAAUCUAUGAUGCACACUUUCCCCAACCAUGAGCUCUCAAGAGAAAUGAUUGUACAAAACUUUUAUGCUCGACUUUCUCAUGAUGAUCAAUUAAUACUCGAUUCUUCUUCUACCGGUUCCUAGAUGAAGAUAACUAUUGAGUUCAAAUGGGAUCUUUUGGAAAUAAUUAAAUGCAACUUUGAAGAUUGGGAACUUGAUAAAGGUAAAGAGUCAGGUAUAAAUAUUGAGUUUGAUUGUGUUAAAUCUUUUAUGGAAACUGAUACUAUUCAUAAGUUUAGCAAUAAAUAUGGGCUUGACUCUGAGAUACUAGCUUCUUUGUGUGAAUCAUUUUCUACUCAUGUUGAUCUCCCUAAGGAGAAGUGGUUUAAAUUUCAUCCACCCAUUGAAGAAUUAUUAGAGGAAACCAUUAAGGUUGAGGAAUAAAUAAUUGUUAGCCAUGUUGAUCCACUUGUUCCUCCUGCUUACAUUGAGAAACCACCUUUUCCUAUUAGGAUUAAGGAACAUGCUAGAGCUUAUAUUGUGGUUAAUAAAAGUAAUAUCAGGACACCUAAAUUCUGGUUAAUAAAUGUUAGGAUUAAGGAUUCAUGCUAUAGUGAUCAAUGUAAUUAAGUUACACUAAACCAUGAGGUUAAGCUAAUGCUUUUGCUAAACAAUGUGUGAUCACUAUGAAUCAUAUGUCAUUUAAAUUUCCUUUUGAAAUUCAAAAUUCAAAUAAUAAGUGGAUUAAAUAUUUUGACAGACAUAAAAACUAAAAUCAUGGUUCCUUUGCAAAUAUUCAUAUAAUGAUUAUCAAAUAGGAACCAUUUUUUGCUAGGUAUUUAAACGCCCUAAAUUUUUUAAAACACAUGCCAAAUCAAUUAUUAAAUGCCCUUUUGGUUUAAAUAAAUUCCAAAUAAAUUAUAAAGGCUCCCAAACUUUUUAUGGCGGUGCUAUAUAUUGCAAGAUGAAUAAUGGACCAAGUGCCAUAAUUUUGCAAAAGAUUUUUGUUACUAAAAUAAAACAAACAUAAACAAACAAAAAAAGGAAAGGUAAAUGGAAAAGAAAUAAAUGAAAAGGGGCCUAUGUGCAUUAUGCACUUAGGCCCGUCGACCCAGCCCACCUAGCCCCCAUCGUCCCCUUGUGUUCACGAGAGGGGACGUGGGUGCGGCGAUGCCCGCCACCGGCCGCCCCCAUCGCUGUGGCGCACAUCCGGCACCUCCCCGACGCCUACAAGCCCCCUCCCCCCCGCACGCCACCGGAAGCCUAGCUGAACCCCAGAUCCCCGUCACCCUCUCCCUCUCCUCCCUCAUGCUGCUCUACUUUCCCUCGCAACCAUGGUUGCUUCGACCGUCACCGUAGCCUGCUCACUAGCAUAGCCACCAAACCUCCCACGCACGACCGAUGUGUCCAGCAGCUCCACCGGCCUCGUCUCCUUCCUCCCCGACGACGAGAUCGAGCCCGGAGCCAUCGCAACUCGCCAUCGCCCCCUUCUUCCUCCUCGGAUUGCCGCCGCUCCUCGUCGUCGAUCCGUCUGCCUCAACCCUCCCGUGAGCCUGCUUUUCUCCUCUACAAGGCCGAGGUGAGCCACCCAUUGAUUCCCCUCUGCCCCCGUAUUAUUCGAGCCAUAGCGCCGCUCCCCGCCGUCGCCGGAGCUCCGCUGCCACUGCCUAGCUCUGUGUCGUCGAUGUAGUGCCCCUCAUGCUAGAAUGAGCAUGCCAUCAUGCUUGUAGCCACGCAUAGGCGCUUAAUUUCUUCUCGUCCUCGAGUAGAUAAAUGAUAACACAAUAAUUUCUGUGGUGACAUGCUAACACACAUAUAAGAACUCCAAAGUAAAGCAAGUAAGAUAUGCAAUUCAAGUCAAGACAAUAACAUGUAAGAGUUUAUAUCUAGUAUUGAAUUUAGCAAAGUAAGAACAUAAAGGUGCAAGAGCUCUCGCUGUCCGUGACUCGAAUGUCUCCAUAUGGUGUUUGCAUGCAAAAAGUGGGAGAUGGGUUGAGAUCAUAUUUUUUUAUUGAGAACUCAAUCUACUAAACCUCACACUUGGUCUCCUUCGGAAUCUUAUUUUGACUCAUCCCCAGACCACUAGUCAGGCACAAGUCAAAAUGAUCCUCUCCCUUUCGACUUUGAGCACUCAUGCAAUGGAUGAGUGUAAGCAAGAUAUGUUGGCACUUAGGAUGGCAAAUAGAAUAAUGAUGGGGAAUCAAGACAAAAAGAUGUGAAAGGCUCACAUCAAUGAAGACAACCAUAGGCGAGAGAAAGCCAAAUGAUAGAUAUGAUGUGAGGAGUAGGGAUUUCCAUGUAACACAUGCACAUAUGAGCUAAGGUAAGCUCUCUAAUGGAACUAGUGGGGGUGCAUCCAACUUGUUUGCUCAUGAACACCUAGAGCUCAUUUGAGGAGGCUCAUCAUUGGAAUAUGCAAACCAAGUUCUAUAGUGUAAGGGUCCCCACAUAGUUAUGCAUGAAUGAUAAUCUCUAUGUAGUACAAAUAUAGAAAUGGAGUACGAGUGUGGAUCUUUCAAAAGGAAUAGUAGUGUUGCCCCCUUCUCUCUUUUUAUUUUUUAUUUUUUAUGGCCUCUUUGGCUUUUAUUUUUAUCUCUUAGUUGUCCUCUUUGGGAUCUUUUUUGUCCUCUAUGGGAUAUUUUCCUCACUUAAGGGCAACACUCUAUGUUUUACAUGAAUAAAAAGAAGAUCAUCACACUUUAUAAGAAGUAUUCAACAUAAAGAGAAGUGAAAACUAUCAUGAUGUAUGCAAAUGUAUGCCUCUGAGCCAGCGUAGCAGGAUAUGCAAUGAUACUAGCGCGUCAUGUAGCAAUAAUUGGGGCAAGGCCCAACUAUCAUGCGGCUCUACGAUCAAGCAAAAGCAUGGAUGGCAUGAAGAUCAAGUCAUGAGAUGGUGGAUGUUGCAUGAUAAUGUAUCUCAGAAAGGCUAUGGAAAUGUCUUAAUAGGUAGGUAUGGUGGCUGUUUUGAGGAGAGAUAUAAUGAGGCUUAUGUAUGACGGAGCGUAUCAUGUCGUGGGUUUGGAUGCACCGGCGGGGUUUGCACCAAAUCUCAAUGUGAGAAAGGGCAAUGCACGGUGCCGAAGAGGCUAACAAAAUAUGGAUGGUGGAAGUGCUAACAAUCGAAUACUCACAUUAGUCCGAAGAACUCAUACACUUAUUAUCGAUAGCUCUCUAUCUAGUUAGGAAAUUCACAAAGAGACAAGUUCCUCGAGGAGGAGUGUUUGGGGGCGCAUCCUCGACUCAUGGUAACGUGAGGGUACUCUAUAUAUUCCAACCCCUCCACAGGUUAGCGAUCAAUUUAGUAGCUAGAGUUCACAACUAUUUUUUAGUUUUUGAAAAACACACAGAUCUCCCAAAAUACGACACCUAUCAUUUAUAGGCUUAAGCUCUUGGCACCAAUAGUCCAAACAUUACUCAAAUCAAUACCUCAAAACUAUUGCAAGAUACUACUAUACUUAAAUAGCACCCUCAGUUACCUACUCAUGCAAGACACACAACUCAGUGCAACAAGCCAACUCUCUAAACAAGAUAAGCAUGAUAACUCAAGAGAGUUCCAAGAGCAACCUAAAUAAAAGCUCUUAGAAAGAUAUAGCAUGAAAACUAAGAGCUAAGCAUGACAGUAGCUAUGAAAAGAUAGAGAACACACAAAAAAGAUAAGCAUGAAAACCUAUGUUGUGUUCUAGAGUGGAAUGGAGUGUGUUUAUCUCCCAAACAAGGUAGGCUAGGUUCCGACUUGUUAUGAACUACAAGCAAAACUAAAACAAACUAAAAAGUAAAUAGCGGGACGCUCCAAGCAUAGCACAUAACAUAUGAAGUGAUAAAAAUAUAACAUGGAGAUGGACGAACUGAUGAUUGUUGAUAGAGAAGGGGAUGCAUGGGGGCGUCCCCAAGAUUAGACGCUUGAGUAUCCUGGAAUAUUUCUUGGGGUGCAUGGGGGCAUCCCCAAGCUUGAGCGCUUGACACUCCGGCAUCUUCUUUCAUGAUCUCCCAUCGCAUACUUGAAAACUCCCUUCAUACGAAACUCAUUAUAAGCUGAUUAGAGUGGUUAGUACCCUGAAUAAAAUAAUUCAUUACCUGCUGAAAAUAAAGAUUUUCAUGAAAAGCUACUGUUUCUCAUGGUUGCCAAAAGGUUUUUGCAAAUAAAAAGUAAGCUUAGGAUUUGCAAAAUUAUAAAAACGCAAAACGUGGCAGAAUUUGUGAAAAAUAGAACAACAGGUAGUACAUAAUUUAUUCGGGCCACUUCUGCAACUCAAAUAAAAAAACUCAGAACAGAUGCCACAAAGGCAAUUAUAUAGAGCAUGCUGAAACAAAAUUCAGAUCAAAAAUAUGAUCUGGUUAUUUUUGGCAAAUUUUUCUGUCAAGCAUACCUGUUUCUGGACAACAUGUCACAACUUUUGAACUUUUUUGCAAUCGGAGGCCAUAACUUGGCACAAAGCUUAAAAAUAAAGAUACAGUGAUGUUGCUACAGUAGUAACAAGCAUCAAGGCCACUAAAACUGAAAGUAAAAACUCAAAGUAAAGAUAACAAGGGUUGUCUCCCUAGAGCUCUUUCUUUAUAGCCAUAAAGACAGGCUUAAGAUUUUAAUGAUGCUCUCGAAGGAAUAAGAGUUGUAGAACAAAAGAGAGCAUCAAGAAAAAAAUACCAAACACACUUACGUCUAACAUGCUUCCUAUGCAUAGGAAUAUUGCAAUAGAAUAAUUCAUUGAAGCACAGAGCAAUAAGCAUAGGAAGGCAAACCAAGUGCAACUUCAAAACCUUCGACAUAAAGAGAGGGAACUUGAUAUUAUUUAAAUAUCUAUAAGCAUAUGUUCCCUUCUUAUAUUAAUUUUCAGUGGGAUCAUGAAUAAACUCAACAAUAUAACUAUCAUAUAUGGCAUUAUUUCCAUGAUCCACAUGGACUUCAUGAAGAGGAUAAAAUUUGGAGUAAAAGAGAGACUGAAUCUCUUCCCAAUCCCGUAUGUGAGAAUCAUCUAGUAGCCUAUACCAUUCCAAUGCUUUUCCUUUUAGUGACAAGGCAAAUCAUUUCCUCAUGACUCCAUCUCUUGUCAAACCUGAAAUCUUAAACAACUCACAAAGUUCUGUAAGUUUCAAUAGAUGAAUACUAGGAUUGACUGUUCCAUCAUAACAAUCAUUCCUAAUUAAUUAAAUUAUCCCAAGUGGUAUUUUGAAUUGGAUACAUUCAAUAGGUGGAGUAGACUUCUCUACCACGGGUGUGGUAAAGAAGCCUUCCCCAAGCAGCGAACUAAGAGUGCAGUUUUCCAUUAACCCUAACAAAACAUCAUGUUGAGAAGGGGGUAUUUAGCAACAAGCAAGAACACAACAACUAUUUUUUUGUGAUUUUUGGUAUAAGACUCUAAAUAAAAAACUAGAAACCAAACUAACAAGACUAAAAAGCAGAAGUAGAAGAUAGCGUGCAACUCCCUAUCUUGAAGACUGGAGUCCCCGACAAUGGCGCUAGAGAACUUUGCUUGAUGACGAGAUGAUGUAUAUACUUCUCGCUCCUCGUUGGUUACCCCAAGUGGAAGGUUGAGAUGUAGUCAGCAGCAAGUUUUCCCUUACUCAGAGACUGUAAGGUUUAUCGAACCAGGAGGACUCCUAGGACCAACAAGUAGGUGUCUUCCACCUUGGCUCUAGUAGAGGACGUGGACCUGCACACACAACAAAUAACUUUGCUCCCAACGAGUACAGAGAGGUUGUCAAUCUCACCGGCCUUGUAGUUUGCAAAGGAUCAAAACACAAGCGGGAAAAGUAAUAGUGAUUACAACGGGAAAGUAAAUGAAAACGGUAAAUGGUGGAGGUGUAAACGAUGAUGGUGAUAUGGACCGGACUCACAUGAUGUUCACUAGUGAUGUCUCUCUCCCAAAAGACGAUAAACAACUAUGCUUGGGUAAACUAAUUACAGCUGGGCAAUUGACAGAAUCAUGAACGCACUGCAAUGCUAAUUAUGCUACUUGAUAGUUAGAGGUUCAAUAGUAAUGCGCAGUAUGCCAAGACAAGUAGACUGUUUAUUCAUCAGCAUCUACUUACUAAUCAUCCACCUUGAGAUAUAUAUCCAGAACAUCUCUCCGGUAUCAAAUUGCGAGCCCCACCCAAAGUGUAAACUCAAAGCAACGAACAGCUGCAUUAACGAACUAUGCGUAAGGUAAACAGUCCUUGCAACCGUGGUCACAAGCACCGUUGUUUCCUCCAUGGUGGCAACAACACAUCCCCUAGUCUCAUGUUUCUAUCACUCAAGCUAGACAUCGAGGGGCAUGAACCCACAAUCAUGCAUAACACUCCCUCUUGGAGUUGCAAUUUACUACUCAACCAAAGCAAUAAAUAGCAACGGAGAACAUGCAUGAAUCACUAAGGAACAUAAUAUAAAAGGAUAAUCAAAUAUAUAACUCAUAACAAUCUGAACAUAAUCUCAUAAUCCAUCGGAUUCCAACAAACUGAGCAUAGCAAUAGCAAGAGAAUUACCUAGAUGCCUUGAUCAUGUAGGGCAGCUCACAAGGACUAACCAUUGAAGCACAAGAUUGGAGAGAAGACAUCACAUAGCUACUGGUCAUGGACCCAUGGUCCAAGGAAGACUAAUCACGAGAGGUCCGGGAAGCGUCCAUGGCGGUGAAGAAGCUCCCGGAGGUCAAUCCUCCCUCCGACAGGGUGUCGAGAAGAGGUCUCCUGACACUCCCGAUCUCGGAAGCGCUGUGGCGGCGGAACGAUGGAGAAAUUCACGAUUCUGGAUGUGAUGGAAGGGUUUUCUCGUGGAGGAGUAAAUAUAGGCCAAAGGAGGGCACCGGAGGAGGUGGGACCCACCCAGGCGGCCUCUUGGCGCGGCCAGGGGGUAGGCCGUGCCCACAGGUCGCGUGGGCGGCCCCUGGCCCCCUCUGGCCCAUCUUCGGUGAUGUGGAAGGUUCCGGUACGCUAUUUUUUAUAUAUGUUUCUUGGAUUUUUUGGGUUUUGAAAAAUUGGGUAAAACCCCCUACAAAAAAGACAUCAACAGACAUGAACUGGCACUGGGUGCACUGAGUUAGUAGGUUAGUCCAAAUAUGUGUAAAAAGAUAUAAAAGUGUAGCAAAACAUAUAACAAUGUCACCCAAAAGAUCAUGGAACAAGCAGAAAUUAUAGAUACGUUUGGGACGUAUCAGCGCUGCCCAAGCCAUCAAAACGACGAAUGCCCCGUGUGCUCAAUUACCUUGAGCCCGAGAUUCGGCCUCCACAGCGAGCUCAUUUCUGAUGAACUCUGGCCACCCUAGCCCCUCACGUCGGUUGGAAUGGAAGAGCAUGAUAAUACCCAAGUGCAAGGAAUCAUCAUAGCACUUUCCAAAGAUGGAAGUGGUAAGUACGGAGUGUCAAACCCACAAGGAGAUAAAGGUAAGUUCAAUAUUCUCUCAAUUCCUAUCUGCGAUUGAUACAACUCUACAUACACCAAACGUUCGCUUCUAUCUACUAACGAGAGAUAUAACUGCAUUGUGGGUACAAAGAGGAUAGCUUUGCAUGAUAUUAGAGAACUCAAAUAUAAAAAUAUUUGCGGCACUAAAUAGAAUUAUAAUAUAUUACAAUAUAUUACAAAUAGCAAGUGUGGAAUAAUGAUGGUAUGGAGUGCAAAAUCAUCCUAGGCAAUUGAUAACGAGAUCGAUAAUCAUUCUUGCAAUUUUAUAUGAGGGAGAUGCAUGAGCUAACAUACUUUACGUACUUGGAUCAUAUGAACUUAUGAUUGGAUCCGCAACUACUAGAGAUCAUUAAGGUAAAACCAACCAUAGAAUUAAACAUCAAGUUCCCUUUACUCCCAUACACAAACAAGUCCCUUAUCGGCGUAAGCUUCUGUCAGUUUAGCCACCCACUAUAAGCGAAUCAUGAACAUAUUGCAAACCUACAGCAAGAAUUCCUUCACGUGCACGCUGCACGAAGGGCACCAUAGGAUAGCACAAAAUAAAACAUACACUCAAAUCAAUCAAGAUCAUCAAUCAACCUAAAGGACAACAUAAAUCUACUCAAACAUCUAGGAUGGCAACACAUAAUUGAUUAAUAAUAUAUGGCAUGAAACACCAUGUUCAAGUAGGGGAUUACAGCAGGGCGCGGGAGAGUGAACCACCAUAGAUAGAUGAGGGAAGGUGAUGGAGAUGGUGAUGUUUGAUGAAGACGAUCACCGUGGUGAUGGUUCCUCUGGCGGCACACUGGCGCCGCCGGAAGAGAGGGGGAGAGAGUUCCCCCUUUAGUAUUCCUCCUCCAUGGCAUCUGCUCAUCUAGGGAGAGGUUCUCCCUCUAGUCCUUGGCUGUCAUGGCACCUGGAGGGGCGAGAGCCCCUCCGAGAUUGGAUCUCUCUCUCUCUCUCUCUCUAUGUUUAUCUCUUCUGGUAGGGUACUAGAACGUAUCCAGAUUGGUUAUUUGUCGAUACAGGGUGUUGCGGCGUUGGAGCGGAAGUUAUCCCUUUACUUCUGGGGUUUCUGGUAUAUAUAGGAUUUUUUAGCGUUGGAAUCACGCCAAACGGAGCCUCAUGGGCCCCACAAGCUAUCAGAGCAUGACCUAGGGGGGCUCUCUAUUAGCUUGUGGCCCAUAGGUGGCUCUCCUCGAGUGGUUCUUCAACCCAAUAAAUAAAAAAAUAAUAUAAAAGUUUCGGGCAAUUCCGAGAAAUUUCAUUUUGUGCACAAAACAAAACACCAUGCUAAUUUUGCUGAAAAGAGCGUCAUCCCGGGUUAGUCCUAAAUAAAUCAUAUAAUGUGCAUCAAUACCAUAUAAAAGUAUUGUAAUCAUAGGCAAAAAUGGCAUGAAUGCUUCGUAAAUUAUCGAUACUUUGGAGACGUAUCAACAUCCCCAAGCUUAAUUCCUACUCCUCCUCGAUUAGGUAAAUGAUAAAAGAAAUAAUUUAUGAAGUGUGCAUGCUAGCAUAGUGUAUAAGUUUGAUCAAUGAUAAUUCCAAUAAAUUUUUCUAGCAUCAUAACCAACAACUUUUUCAUAAAAUCAACAUGGUUGAGUAGCAAUCAAUUCACAUGUCAUGGUUCAAAGAAUGCAUUCUCUUGAAAAUUAACAACAUAUGUUCUUAGUCAUCAAGCAACUUCAAUAAAUCAUCAAGUCUAAGUAAGAGCUCCACAAACUCAAUUAUCAUAUAGUCUUCUAUGAUUGCUAAUACUCGAGGCAUAUUUUUAGAACAAACAACAUCCAUCAAACACAGAGAAAGAUAGAGGCUUCAAGUUUUGGCUCCCAACAUACUUAUCAUAAAUAUAAUUGUCAACAAUAAUGAAUCACGAUCAAAUAUAUUUGACUGGAUAUACAUGUUUGGAUCUUUCCCCACCACAUGGUUCUUGGCAACUAAUAUAUUGAGGUUGGAAUAAGAAGUUGACUAACAUGAAAGUAAAUAAAUUGUCCCUUCGCUCAUGGAAGCAUGGAUUCGCAUAGGUGCGAGAGGUCAUUAUUUUAAAAUAGACAUGAAUAUGUAAUUUUGGGUGGUGUGCCUUUCUUGUCAAUGUCACAAUAGAGUUUUCAAUAUAUUCCACACUAAUCACAUUAUUGGCGGUUCCCAAAAAUAAUUGAAAUUUUACUCCCACUCAACCAUUCAAUCACAUUCCAUAGCUAGUCGUAUCCACUGGUGCCCUCCAAACAAUUAACUUUCUAUGGGGAGUUCUUGUUUAUUUAUUUUUGUAUUAUGCAGGACCGGGCAUCCUUUUUACCAGCUUUCCUCGUGCAAUGACCAGUGAAUAAACACUCAUCUUGAGAAUAACUCGCUUAGCAUGGAAAAUAAUGACCACCCCGUUGCUCCAUGAGCGGUAUGGGCACACAAAACAAAUGUUUAUUUGAAUGUUUAGAGGUGGCACAUGAAAAUUUACUUGGAAGGCACUGAAAUACCACAUAUAGGUAGGUAUAGUUGUCGGGACCCCGAUCCUAAGCCAUAGGAAUCCAGCCUGUAACACAUCGCAUCCCUUUGCGGUCUCACGCACGGUUAACCCCACGGCUGCAGCCUUACCUUAGCCGGGACCGUUUGCGUCUUUUGACUCACGUAUGCAAUUGAGUCGCUAGCAUUCCAGUGUCAAAGAACCCGGAUCGACAAGUCUAGUCAUAAACCAAAGUGGCAGUACCGCACAGGGACAAGCAUACAUGACCCAACAAAGCAGGUGUCGGUCACCAGCGAAUGUAGACGAGUCGUAGCAAGCUACAAGGACUCCAUUACAUCGCGUGACAUUUCCCCAAAGGGGACAGACACAGCAGCUAAGAAGGACACAUGCCGGUCAACCAAUGUGUCCGGAGCAGUAGCGAGCUACCAUGGCUCGUUGGAUCACAAAGGGGCAUUUCCCUGUAAGGAGUGCUACUAAAGUUCACGGCUAGGUAAUCGAACCCCAUACAUAUCAAGUAUGACACACGUACGCAUGGCAUACCGAUAUGUAUAGAUACAUCGAUGGCAUCACAACAUAACCAUAAACAUACAAGCUUUAUUUAAGAGGCUCGGAAGAGCCACACACAUAAUAUUACACAGUAAGGGUCUCACGACCCAUAAUAGCAGUCAUUCCGUUACAAGCCAGCGGAAGAGUUUAAAACUGUCUGAGUACAGACAGGUGCAACUAGAAGGCACAUGGCCUGACUAUACUACAGACCCAACAUAGGGCCAGAUCGUAGCUGGGACACCAGCUACUCGUCGUCGUCGAUGUCUAUGAAGAACCCUCCAUUAGGGUCAUUAGUAACCUCUGCAACAUUUAUUAAGCAAACAUGAGUACGGAGGUACUCAGCAAGACUUUAGGAUAACUAUCUACUCAUGCAAUGUAUCAAUAAGGUAUGGUGGGGUUUCAUGCGGAAAGCCAGCAUUUGACUCGUGGCUAGACAACUUGCACUUUUAAAUAAUUUUAACAACUUGACUUCUCGCACACGAGUCCACUAACACCAUAACAAUACACCAUCGUGGGAUCAUUUCGUCUCCAUACGGAAAUGCCGUCCACGACACUCACGCUUAUCUUGACAAUUUUAUGAGUAGCCAUUAAAGUUAUCUAUGAACAACAUAUGUCUCCAAGUAGUCCAUAUCCAUGGACGCGGCUAUUCGAAUAGAUCAUAACCCUGCAGGGGUGUACUUCGUCACACACGCUCUCGCNNNNNNNNNNNNNNNNNNNNNNNNNNNNNNNNNNNNNNNNNNNNNNNNNNNNNNNNNNNNNNNNNNNNNNNNNNNNNNNNNNNNNNNNNNNNNNNNNNNNUGCUCCGACGUCGGUCGCUCCAUGAACCGACUGACAUAGCCGACGGAGAAUGCCAAGUCCGGCCGUGUGUGAGCAAGGUAGCGAAGGCUCCCCACAAGGCGUCGGUACUGCGUAGCGUCCACUUCCUCCGUCGUGCUGUCGCGGCUCAGUUUCAGCCUCUCCUCCAUCGGAGUGAGAGCUGGGUGGCAGUCGGUGAGCCCAGCUAGCUCAACGAUGCGCUUGGCGUAGGCGGACUGUCGAAGCGCGAUCCCGGAGUGAUCCUGGUGCACCUCGAUCCCUAGAUAGAAGGAGAGGAGCCCCAGAUCACUCAUCUGGAAGGUGGCCUUCAUGUCUUCCUUGAACGCCGCCACCUCUGCAUCUUUGAUGCCGGUGAUCACCAAGUCGUCAACAUAGACGCCCACCAGCAGGGCAUUUCCUCCGCUGCCCCGUCGGUAGACGGCCGCCUCAUGCGGGCUUUGCUCGAAGCCCAUCUUCUUUAGCGUGGAGUCCAGCUUGGCGUUCCACGCCCUAGGUGCCUGCUGUAGGCCGUAGAGGGCCUUACGCAGGCGGAGUACCUUGCCCUCCUGGCCAGGGAUCGCAAAUCCCGGUGGUUGAUGCACAUAGACUUCCUCCUUCAAGUCGCCAUUGAGGAAUGCCNNNNNNNNNNNNNNNNNNNNNNNNNNGAAUGCCGACUUGACAUCCAUGUGAUGGACACGCCAGCCCUCCUGGGCAGCUAGCGCAAGGAGAAGUCGCACGGACUCCAUCCGUGCCACGGGAGCGAAAGCGUCGUCGAAGUCGACUCCUUCCUGCUGCAAGAAGCCUCGAGCCACCAAGCGAGCCUUGUGCUUGAUGAUGGCGCCGGCUCCAUCCCUCUUCAGCUUGAACACCCACUUAAGGGUGAUUGCGCGGUGACCACGAGGGAGGUCAGCGAGCUCCCAGGUGCGGUUCUGCUCGACCGCAUCCAUCUCCAACUGCAUCGCGGCGCGCCAUGCCGCGUCUUUCUCGGCCUCUGCAAAAGACCGAGGUUCGCCGUCCUCACACGCGAGUUGUAGUUGUGCCUCCAGGUCGCGUGGCACCAGUCCCGGCACCGGCUGGUCGCCGAGUAGAUUAUCCAUCGUACGAUACCGUAGCGGUUCGCCGCUAUGAUACGCGUCGAUGCGCUCCUCGUCGUGAGUGAGCGGGGAAGCGAACUUCAUCGGGUUGUGCUCUGCGUGAGCUGGUGCUGAUGAAGACGAGUCCGGAGUGGUGACUGUCGGGGCUGGAGUAUGCGGCGUCGCCGGUUGUGGUGCCGUCGGCGUAGCAGGCACCGGAGUCGAUGUAGUUUUGGGGGCUGGGGUAGACGUGCUCGGCGAAGAGGAGCUGCUUGCUCCCCCAGCUUCCUUGAAGUGGACGUACUCGACAAUGAAGUCGUCAUACGUCGGCGUCGAGCCGUCGUCCACCGCCUUGUCCCAUUUCCACCCUCGCCCUUCGUUGAACACGACGUCUCGCGCCGUGCGCACACGCUGUGUCUUUGGGUCGAGGAUGCGGUAGGCCUUUGAGCCCUCCGCAUAGCCGAUGAAGACUCCCGGAGUACUCCUGUCGUCGAGCUUGCCGAUGUGGCCGAGCUCUUUGGCGAACGCAAGGCAGCCAAAGACCCGCAAGUGAGAGACCGCCGGCUUCCGCCCAUGCCAGGCCUCGUACGGCGUCCUGCCGUCGAGUGCCUUAGUAGGCGAGCGGUUGAGGAUGUAGACGGCCGUUAGCACCGCCUCUCCCCAGAAAACAGCCAGCAUCCCUCUCUGCUUGAGGAGAGCCCGAGCCAUCCCCACAACCGUCUGGUUGCGGCGCUCGACGACGCCGUUUUGCUGCGGGCUGUACGGCGCGGAGUAGUGGCGCUGGAUGCCCUCAUCAGCGCAGUACGACGCGAAUUCAGCCGCCGUGAAUUCGCCACCGUUGUCAGUGCGCAACACGCGCAGUUUGCGGCCGCUCUCCGCCUCCACAGCAACCUGCGCACGCCUGAUGGCGUCCGGCGCCUCUCCCUUACUGCCGAGGACCAUCACCCACAUGUAGCGAGAGAGGUCGUCGACGAGCAGCAGGAAGUAGCGUCGACCUCCUGGUGUGGCUGGCGUCACCGGGCCGCACAGAUCUCCGUGCACGAGCUCCAGUCUCUCCUUGGCCCGAAAACUCGCCUGUUGGGGAAAGGGGAGUCGUCUCUGCUUCGUCAGCACACAGAUGUCGCAGAACUGCUCCACAUGGUCGAGGCAUGGCAGGCCUCGCACCAUCUCCUUGGCACUUAGACGCUUCAGGGCCUCAAAAUGAAGGUGCCCAAAGCGCUCAUGCCAUUGCCACGCCUCGUCGUCCCGACGGACAGCGAGACAGACCGGUUGUGCCACCUGCACAUCAAGGACGUAGAGUCGAUUUUCACCUCUGGGUACCUUGGCGAGAAGGCGGCGCUGGCGAUCCCAGAUGCGUAGGACCCCAUGCUCAAUCAGCACGCGUGAGCCGUUCUCAUCCAGCUGUCCCAAGCUGAUGAUGGAGUUCCUUAGCGCGGGGAUGUAGUAGACACCGGUGAGCAGCCGGUGCUCUCCCGUCUUGGUGGUGAAGAUGACGGAGCCGACGCCCUUAAUUUCCACAGCUGAGGCAUCCCCAAACUUGACGGAGCCUCGCGCGUCGGAGUCGAGCUCGGCGAAGAAUUCCCUUCGACCGGUCAUGUGGUGGGUGGCGCCGGUAUCGAGGCACCACCCCGCAGUCUUGUCCUUCCCGGAGCCAUCGCCGAGAAGAGCGUGUGCUUUUGGCUCGUCGAGGUGGAGGGGAGCCUUUGCGACUGGUGUCGCUGAAGGUAGCUCGAUGCUUGCAUGCGCCAUGAACAGAGCCGUCUCCUCCUCCGCCGCCUGUGCGACGUGAGCCUGGCCUUGUCGUGGUUGGCGACACUCAUUGGCCCAAUGGCCAAGCCGGUCACAGUUGUGGCAGCUGUUGUCCUGUGCCGGCUUGGGCUUGCCAGCGACGCCGUCCUUGGCGCCUCCGCGGGCGUCACCUUCGGCACGUCCUUGUGCCUUGCCGCCCCUUCGCGCCUUGCGCUGCUUGCCGCGCUUGCGGCCGCCCGUCGUGGAAGAAGGCUCCCCCUUCUUCUUGUCACCAAGGCUGGCAUCCCACUGCUCCCGAGUUAGGAGCAGCUUCCCGCCGGUGGUGAUGGGCCCCGAGGGAGGCUGUGGCUCGUCGGUGUCGACGACCUUGAGGCGACCUAUCGCCUCCUCGAUCGUCAUCGUGGAGAGGUCCAGCAAAGACUCGAUCGAGCGAGCCAUCUGCUUGUACUUCUCGGGAAUGCACCGGAAAAGCUUCUCGACAGCUCUCUCCUCGGUGUAGGUGGCAUCGCCGAACUUCACCAUCUUCUGCAGUAGAGUGUUGAGACGGAGAGCAAAGUCAUCAACGUCCUCACCUGGCUUGAAAGCCAGGCUCUCCCACUCCUUACGAAGUGCCUGCAGUGUGGACUUGCGAGCACGGUCGCUGCCGAUGCGUGCCGCGUCGAUGGCGUCCCAAGCCUCCUUGGCAGUCCGCUUGUUGGAAAGCGAGAACUGCAUCUCGGGCGGGACUGCGGCGACGAGGGCGUCCAACGCCCGUCGAUCUUCUUGGUGGUCGACGUUGCUGUCCUGGACUGCCUCCCACAGCCGCCGCACCUGGAGCCUGAUCUUCAUGAUCGCGGCCCACUCGACGUAGUUGGUUUUAGUGAGGGUAGGCCACCCAACACUGGGACCAACAUCCCUGACCACAGUCCGGACCUCGUAGAGGCCGCGGUCCUGGUCGUUGCAGCCGCCGUCGCCGUGCGCACCUGCACCUGGAGCGCGGGCGUGCUCGGCUGCCCACUGCGCUGUCCGCUCUUGCGCCACUUUGGCACGGUCUGCGUCGGCACCGUCGUCCGCAGGCGCGGAGCCGUUGGAGCUGCCGGAGCCGACGCGGAGUGCCUUGGCACCCGCUGUAGCCUCACGUGCUGCCUCCGCUGCUGCUGCUGCUUCUACCUCCGCCCUGGCUGCUUCUACCUCCGCUCUGGCUGCUGCCAGCUCCGCUGCAGCCAGCCUUGACACCCUUGCUGCCGCAGCAGCUGCUGCUACAGCUGCUCGCUCACGCUCCUCUGCCACGGCGCGCUCGGCCUCCUGCUGGCGCCGUAUGCUCGAGGUAGCCGUGUGCUGAGAGCGACCUGCAGACAUGGCUCGCUGCAGGGGGGCUGUUGCGUGAAGAGGAGGCUGUUGCUGACGAGCUGCUGCUCGACAGUCCGGAGGGAGGGAGGUAACUAGGGGCAGUCGGAGCAGCAGCUGCUACCGGCUUAGGCUGCUCAGCUCCCGGUGAGAGAGGUGAGCAGGAAAUGCUCAGGGUGCAAGAUAACCUGGCUCUGAUACCACUUGUUAGACCUUUCAGCCUGAGCAUUGAUGUUGUGGAUGACACUAGGAGAGUUGGGACAAUUUUCGUUGGUUUAUUU